CCAGCAAGGAGUUGCAUGACGAGCCCAGAUGUGACAAUUGGAGUGAUCCCAAGCUCCAUGACAGUGCCUCGGUUGGAAGCGAGAAUCACACGCAUCCAAUAGAAGGGAUCUGCGCCAGUUGUGGAGUGAAUGCCAUACAGAGGGAGCUGGCUGCAUACCAAGAAAAUGAAGAGGGAGAUGACGGUGUAUAUCACCUUCUCUCUGAAGGGGACUUUCCUGUCAGCGCUCUGCACUUCCGGCAAAAACGAAAGGAAGGGUCUCACCAGAUGAAGAACUCGAAAUCCACCUCCCAUCUCGCUUCGUCAAAGCUAGAGACGGGCCAAAGCCAGAUCUGGUCGGCGUGGCAGAGAGAGAAGAAGGAUAUGAAUAAAUGGCGCAGAGAUGGAAGAAGAGAGAUAACGGCGCAGAGAAGAGAAGAAAAUAGGUUUCACGCGAGUUUUAAUUUUGUUCAAAUUGAAAGCAAUAAAUUCAAUGUUUAUACAAACAAUACGUUGGUAAUGUGUUAGUCCAGUGGUGUGGGCUUUUGAAGCGAAGCAUAAGUCAAGAGGGGGGUGGGGUUGGGUUCGAAACCCUUUGUGGAUGGUCUUUCAAGUUCCUGUCUUUAUUUUGCUUCAAGUUUCAGUUUUUAGUUUUAAAUUCUAUUUAAAUUGACAGAGUUAAUCGCAAAUAGGAAGGAAGGGGAUAUAGAUAUGAUGCUGAGGGCAAGAAGGCACAGCUCCUCUACAACCUUCAAUUCAAACUCUGGAUAUCGAACAGGAACACAGAGAUAAGAGGCACUUUCAAGUAAGCUUGGGGUUGAGGAGCAAAAUAAGUUUAGGUUAGGUUAGGUUAGGUUAAAUAUAUAUAAUUAAAGUUGUUGGUUCUACUUUCCAGUUAGGAAAGUUCUGUUAAUUGCCUCCAUCAUAUGCUAUGAUUUUCUCCCUUGAUCUAGUCUUUAUAUGUUGAUUCCUUCCUUUUGUAGCAUUCUUUCUGUCUAAAUUGGGUGUGUUUCUGUUUUUACCUCAAUGAAUGAAUAAGAUGAAGCAUAAUUUUCUAUUACAUUACCCUCUCUUGAAUUAAGAAAUCGAAAAUUGCAAAGAAUUCUUAAAUUUAUGGCAAUGAAUAAUUUCAGUGUUUGGAUUUAUGUAUGUCAAAUUUUAUAAAUAACAAAAAUUACAGUGAAACGUGAAUUCAUACUCAAUAGAAAUUGCGAAAUGACAUCUCUUUUGUUGGAAAUUAAAAUAGAUUACUAUAAAGAAACCCAUUUCUAACAAUAGAAUCAUAGAAAUACUCUACAUGAAAUUGACUUCAUAAACACACCCUACCUUACAUUAAACAGACUUCCUAAACACAACCUACUAUUGCAAGCUGUUCUUUUUUUUUAUUUAGUUUACUUAAUAUACAGAUUUCGUGAUUUACCCUUAAGUAUGAAAUUCAUAUUAAAAAAAACUCAAAACUGGAUUAUUACUCACCUGAUUUACCCUUUAGUGUGUUUAAGACCCUGGACCUUCGUGUCGGGGUUCAAAUCUCUAGGCUCCGUAUGGAUUUACAAGGUUUUGUAUAGACAAGCAAUAUUAUGCAGCUUAGAUUCCCAGCUUUUUGAAUUGCAUACUAUAAUCACUGGCUGGGUUGAAGAUUAGAUCAAAUUGAUAAGAGCAAAAAAUCACACUCCAUGUUCUGUCAAUAUCUUAAGCAUCGGGUAUAUAUAUACAGAGAGCUUUCAUUGAGGGAUCCCUUAAAUAAGCUUAUUUGAGGGACACUCCUUGUAGGCCCCACUCCAGAUUGUAUUUCACUAAUCCAAACCGUCUAUUUUGUAGAUACUCAUUCAAAGAUCAUCUCUACAAAAAAUCACUUGAAUCCGAUAUCAUUUGACCACUCAAUUAAGUUAUUGAAAUUUUAGCAUUUUCUUGAAGAAUCGUGUUCAUUGAUUUUGUAAGACACAAUUAGAUGUCGAAACGGUUUCCGAUUUAUCUAAUUUUUUGUAAGGAUGAUCUAUGAAUGAAGACCUAAAAAUAGAUGGUUUGGAUCAUUGGGAAAAAAAUUGUAUGGUACCCUAAAGGGCGUCCCUCAAAUAAAAUUAUUUGAGGGAUCCCUCAAUAGAAGGGGACUGUAUAUAUAUAUACAUAUAUAUAUAUAUAUAUCUCACCAGUUAUUACUCAAUUGCAGCCAAAUAUGGAGAAACCAAAUGUAUAAUCCACGCCAAUGCAAUGAGAGAGAAGAAGCCUCAUGAAGCUCUCCGGUGCAAACGCGGACAUAUUUCAUUGAAAAGCACAAAGCAACACAGCGCCAGAAGUAGAAGCCUUGAUCUGAUGAGUUGUUGCAGAUGACAAUGGAUUUCUCGAUAAAAAUUAAAAUGGGACACUUUUCAUUUCCCAUUGUUUAUGCUUAAGUUUUGAUUUUUCGAUUAAUUAAGCAAUAUUAAUCUUAUUUUAUUUUUGUAAUUUUUUGGGGUUGAGCAAAGAUCUGGUUCUUUAUCAUUGGGCGAGUGGAUCUGUGCGGCAUUUAUACUGUUUGGUUAAAAGGAUUGGUUAUUGACGAGAUAUAAAUCUGUUGAGCUUCUUAAAGGCUCUCUUUUGGUUUAUAUAAUUAUGUGAUUGUAAACUUGAUAAUAAAUCAAUGAAGGCCUUUCUUCUUCAUGCAAAUUGUUGAUUCUUUCUCUUUCUCUGUUUUUUUUUCUUGCAACAAUCACAGUGCAUUUUCCCUCUCAUAAGAUCUCUCUCUGUACCAUUUGCCAAUUAUCCUUACCAUUUGCCAGUUAUCCUUCUCAUAAGAUGUAAUACCCCGACCCCAAAUUUCCCCAAAUUUAAUCCUUAUUUAAUUAUUUAAUUAUUUAAGGGUAUUUUAGUCAUAUUUUUAACCGGAGAGAGUUUGGGACCGUGACUUGUAUUUUUGGAUAGGUCGUACCGAGACGAGUUCAUAAACACGUAGUGGGCUCGAAUCGGAGUUGUAACGAGAGAGAUAUGGUCAAAAGAAACCCAGUGGCACAAUCGUAAAUAUUUCAAAAUGGGAUUUUUAUAAAAAUCCGGUUCUCUCUCUCUCUCUCCCGCGACCUCUCCCUCUCUCCCUUCAGCUCUCUCUCUCUCUCUCUCUCUCUCUCUCUCUCUCUCUCUCUCUCUCUCUCUCCUUGUAACUCCGGCCACGGCUGUGGACGGGGCCGGUACCAAAAUGACCGGGGCGUCGUCCUCUUCCAGCCCCAGCCGUCUCCCGCCUCCAGCCGCCGCGGUUUCGCCGAAAAAUGGAGGAGAAGCGGCCGGCGUCGUCCGAUCUUCGCCGCCGUCGAUCUCCCUCCUCCGGCCACCAAAUUCGACGAGCAAGGUAUGAUUUCUCACCUAUUUUUCAUGCUCUAGCUGCCUGUUGGGUAGGAUUAGAUCGAUUCUUAGCGUAGACAACUCGAGGCCGAACUUCGGCCGCCGUGAUCGGCCAUUUCCGGCCACUUUUUGGAGUAGGUCCAAGAACAAAAGUGGCUCCAAAUAGGGUGUUAUACCUAGGGUAGGAAUUUGGAGCCGUGGUUUUGAGAUUUUCCGGCGAAGCGUUAUUGCUUUGGGCACCACGCGCUGCCGGGGCGUGCGGCGGCGCUUGGGCAUGGUGGAAAAAGUAGCACUAUGUUCCGAUGAGAUCCUUAGGUUGUCACUAGUGCGUAGGAUUUCGCGGAUCUCAAUUCGGACGUCGUUUGACUAUCGAACGGAUAAUCGCAUAUUGUGCGUUAUCCGGGUUCGAUAGGUUGGGACCGUUGGAUGGUCCCAAAUUUAAUAUAUGUUAAUCUAGAUAAUUCUAGGAUCGUGUAGGAAUUCACGGAUUGUGAAUCGGAGCCCCGGAUGUUCCGAAUAGUAAUUUUACAGUUUAUAUUUUAUAUUAAUUGUCAGAUCGUGCGAUUGUGAGAAAUCCGACCGUCCGAUCUGAACCAAACUUGCAGGACAAGUGUCCUAUACCUGGUAGAACCCAUAGAGACUUUCGGAUCGGAAAUUGGAGGUCGUGGGUUCUGCAGGUCCGUUUGACCAGGGUUAGAGUAGUUUGACCCUUGGUUGACCGUGAGUCUCCCGGAGUAAUCUCACCCUUCCAGGGGGAUUAUCGGGAGCUAGACUAUUGUGGAGAGUUACACAAUAUUAGAAUUAUUUAUAUAAUUAUAUAUGGUUGUACAAGGGUACAACAGAGUCUAGAAUGUCAGUUUGGAGUGCUAUACGCACUACUUUAGGUACUUCCCCGGAUGUUGGAUUUACAACAAGUACCACCAAGUGAAAGUGAGGUCCCAUGUGGCGUAGGUUAUCCGGCGUGCGGACAGGCCCCAUACGUGGCGUUGGUUGUACCAGCGUAUGGGGAGAUUUGUGAUAUUAUGUUCAGGUCUCACGUGGCAUAGGUUAUCCGGCGUUGAGACAGGCCCCAUACGUGGCGUUGGUUGUACCGGCGUAUGGGGAGCUAUGGUGAUAUUGUGUUGAGGUCGCACGUGGCGUAGGUUAUCCGGCGUGUCGACAGACCCUAUACGUGGCGUUGGUUGUACCGGUGUAUGGGGAGAUUUGUGAUAUGAUGUUGAGGUCCCGCGUGGCGUAGGUUAUCCGGCGUUGGGACAGGCUCCAUACGUGGCGUUGGUUGUACCGGGGUAUGGGGAGUUAUGUGAUAUGAUGUGCAGGUCUCGCGUGGCGUAGGUUAUCCGGCGUUGAGACAGACCCCAUACGUGGCGUUGGUUGUACCGGCGUAUGGGGAGAUAUUAUGAUAGUAUGACAUGGUCGCACGUGGCGUAGGUUAUCCGGCGUGUUGACAGGCCCCAUACGUGGCGUUGGUUGUACCGGCGUAUGGGGAGAUUAUAUGAAAUACAAAGAAAUGAAAUAAGGUAUCGCCCAAGUGUGGAAUUGGGUUUUAGGGAAGAACUACGUGUGGCUUGAUCCCUCAAGGAGGGUACGUAGGCAGCCUAAGGUUAUUAGGUGUAGCCGCAGACUAAAUAUUAGUCAUAAUUUGUAUUUGAAUUGUUUGGUAGUUGUUUGAGAAUUAUUGGAAGGCCGAAGGCCAUUUAUGAGAAUUUGCAUGAAAUUAUAUUGUGCAUGCUGCCAGUUGGGAAUAUUAAAUGCGUUUUCAUGCAGGUAUAAAUUUUGGGAAUGUCCAAUUUUUAGGGGAGACUCUGUCGAAAUUUCGGCAGGGAGUCUCGGUUUUUAGUAAGUGGGUCUGGCAUCGGAGUGAUGUCAGGAAUUCCAAAGGGUUCGUCUCGGGUUUUGAGAAAAUUCGGGGCGGGUCCUUUCAUAAGAUCUCUCUCUGCAGUUGUGUAAGUUUGGAUGUUGUUUUAUUGGGUUGUAAUCAGAGCUUGUGGAGAAUUUAGUACUCACGACAUCUUCUAUGACAUAGUAUUAACAGUGUACUUCUAUGACAUAGUAUUAACAGUGUACGUAGAGGUAUUUCCUUUUGCCUUUGCGAUUGUAUGUGGUGAAACUAUGGAUAAUUGGAGAUGGUUUCUGCAAAAGAUAUCUAAUGUCUUGCUAGGCCUUUUUGAGUUUUUUUCUAAGUUUUUGUAUGAAAUGGUAUUAACAAUGCACUUUUAUGAAAUGGUAUUAACAAUGUACUUUUAUGACAUGGUAUUAACAAUGUACGGAGGUUCGGUGGAGAAGGGUCGUAAGGACAGCUCCUUGAUUUUUCUGUUUUUUUUUUUUUUUUAAGUUUGGGUUUUAAAAAAAAAAAUUGGGCUGGGCUUGUUUUGGGUCUUUUUUGAGUUGGGCUUGUUUUAAGUUAAUCAAUGGUAGAUAUGUAAUUUAUAGGAGCUUCCACACUCAUUUCUUAUGUAUUAAAUAGUUUUGGGAAAUAGCCCAAAAUGCCACCAUUUUUAUAAUUGUAAUUGAAAAUACCACCCUUUUUUAAAAAUUUUGGAACUAUGACCUAUAAAUAGAAUUUUAUUGUCCCCUUAUUGCACAGAUAUCACUUUUGCUGAAAUUUUAUUGUCUCUGUUUUGCUGAAGUUCUCUCUCGCCUCUGUCUCUUCGCUGCCCUCUGUUUCUCUUCACUCUCCGGUGGCUUUGCUCCGAAUCUGUGGUCCUUCAGCUCUCAGUCUCUCCUCACUCAGCUCCGACUGUCUCUUCUCUCUUCCUCUCCCAGCGACAGGCACUGUUCAUCGGCAUUUUCUUACAGUUUAAGGGUUUCUCUCAAGUUGUUUUAGGGUUUAUGCAUUUCUCUGAAAUUGGCUGAGGGGUUUGUUCGAAAUUGGUUGAAGGUUUAGGGGUUUCGCUGAAAUUAGUUUAGGGGUUUGUUCGAAAUUGGUUGAAGGUUUAGGGGUUUCUCUGAAAUUGGUUUAGGGGUUUCAUUGAAAUUGUUUUAGGGGUUUGUCUGAAAUGAUCUGAGUAUGAUGAUUCCUUGUUUCAAACAGUGAAUGGGUUUGUUCUUUGUGGACUGAUGCUUGCACUGCUGUUGUGUUGCUGUUGCUGUUGCUAUUGCUGUCGUAUUGUGUUUUUUUGCUAGUGUAUUGCUAAUGUAGUGAUGUUGUGUUGGCAUUUUAGUGCAGUUGUAUUUUUAGUUUUAGUAUGGUUUUAUUAUGGUUUUUGUAGCAGUUAUUGAAUGGUAUUUGGUGGCUUAGUAUAAGUCUUUAUGAGCAUUGCAUUUAACCUUCUUAGAAGUCUAAUUGGUAUCUAUUUUGUUUGUUGAAGAUGAUAUCUAAAGUGUAAGACAAUUAACCUGUGUAUGGUGAUUUCUUCUCUGUGGAUCAUUACCAAAAAAUACUCGCUGAUUAUAUUUUACGUAGAAAAUGUGGCCAUGAAAAGAAUUUGUGGCUAAAACUCCAUGAUGGAAGCAACCAUUUUGAAAUAUCUUAAGCAAACUGUUGGUGGCUUGCUAAAUUCCUUAAUUUUUUUCUCUUUAUCUUCCAACGAGGUAGUGACCCUUCACAUUACACUCAAUUGUGCAAAGGAUUUGCAUGGUUGUCUGAUGGAAUCGAAGAAUAAUUUACAUAGAAAGAAUUUCCUUUGUUAUCGUUCGUAGUUUUUCAUAUAUGAAAGAAACUUCUAGAUUGAUAAAAUAUCUCAAGACAGAGUUUGACAAAAUCAAGUAUUGUAUAAAUAUUUGAACUUGUAAACUCCCAACCAUAUCAUACUUUUUGUUUGAGAAUAAUGCUUGUUAAUUCGACAUAUUUUUGUAUAACUUUGUUUACUAAGUUUAGGGCUUGCAUAUUGGAUAUGGAUGAGUUUUGUUUAGAACCAUAUGUGGUGUAAUAUGAGUUGUUUAAAAGUUUGCUGUUUUGUGCUUGAUCAUUGUGUGCUUAAAAGAAAGCGGGAAAUGAGUGAAGAUGGGAACCUACCAGCAGCAGCUGUGGUUUAGAGAAAUGGGGACAUUGAUUUUGCUAUAAGCUAACUGUUUAAGCUUUUGCUUUUGUUGUUUGUGUAUGGAUACUUAGAGAAGUCUGUUUCUGAGGAGAACUUAUAAUUUUGUAAUUGUACAUGUCUUACAAACAUUUUAUACCGUUUUGAUGGUUUAUUUAUGAAUUUAUCUUUCAUUUUUUGUUAAGAAAAAACUGAAGGGAUGGUGCCAAUUUCUUUCAUUUUCUUACAUUUGAAAGGAGGGCCAUAGUAGAGUCAGUACUGUGGUUGCCACUAAUUCAUAGGAAGUAGAAAUCUAAAUUCUGUGAAUAAACUGGCUGUCACUUCAAUUCACAUGCUCGUUGACAUACUUUAGAUUAAGAAUUAGUUGUGGUUUCACCUUACAUGCAUUUUAUUGGAGUUUUAUGGCUACACGUGUUUUUAUGGUAAAACAGUGGCUGUAUGAAGCUGCUGCUAUAGCUUUUGAGGCUAUACCACGUACUUUGGCUCAGAAUUGCGGGGUGAAUAUGAUUAGAACAAUGACGGCGCUGCAGGGAAAGGUUUGAAUCUGUUUUGUAUGGCUUUGUUCAGUUUUUUUAUGAUUUGUCAUUUCUAUAUACGUUCUGAUGCAUCAUUAUUAUUUUGGUCAGAAUAUGAUGCAUCAUUUAGAUCCUAACCACAAUUUUUUUUCCAUAGCAUGCAAAUGGUGAAAAAUCAUGGAUUGGCAUUGAUGGUAACACUGGUGUGAUAACUGAUGUGAAAGAGAAAAAGAUAGGUGGAUAUCUUUUUGGCUUACUAUUGUUGCUCUCUUUUAUUUCCUUCGCUAUCUCAAUAUUCACAUUUGUUGGGUGAUUUAUAUUUGCUGAAAGCUCUGAAAUAGGACUUUUAAUGUAGUAUUGUUCUCAAAUGUAUCCAUUAUAUGUCCCUUUAUUGAUAUGGCAUAAGUGUCAAUCUUCUGGUUUAUAUUGUCGAUUUGCUUCAGUAGUAGUUCUAGUUUAGAGCUUCUCCCAAUAUAUUUCGACAGCACUCAUGUGAGGGGAAGUGCUGUUGUCGUGGUUAUUAAAAAAUUUCCCAAUAAAUUUAUUUUGUUGGUAAGGCUGUUCAUUUUGAGGAUUUAUGAUGUCAGAUAUGGGAUGCCUACAACGUGAAGGGCCAGAGUUUUAAAACGGCCAUAGAAGCUGCUUGCCUACUUCUCAGAAUCGAUGACAUUGUGAGUGGGAUGAAGAAGAAGCAGCCUCCUGGUGCCAAAGCUCCUUCCAAGCCUCAAGUUGAGACAGAAGGCGAUGCAGAUAAUGAGCAAAUAAUUCCGGAGUGCUUAUGGAGAGCACGUGGUUAUCUCAGUUUGAAUGAAGUUUUGCUUUAAAGAAGAAAAAAAGGAGCAUUAUAAGUUUGAUGAGGAUAUUUUUUAGGUUUGUAAUGUCACCUUAACUUGGUAGUGUGUGUUUUGUCCCUCUUCUUUCUUUCUCAAUCGACGAGGUGGAAAGAAGAGAAGUCUUCUUAUUGGAGAAUGCUAAUGUUAGUUUCACAUGUCAUCUGUGUAUCGAACACAAUUUCUUUGUUCAACUUCGUGGAUUGGCACAGUGGAGCUUAUUUCUACCAUUCUUCUGAAUGAUUGUUAACAGUCCAAACUUAGUUAUUGACACAAAUAUGUACUUUUCUAAAAGUAAGAAAACAAAAAGUUUUUCAUGGCCAAGCAUCAAUUUUAAUAAGCCAGUGUGGCACCUAAAACACACAACGUACGGCACUGUACACAAACUUGUGGAGGAAAGGAUUCAUAUUGAGCAUCUAUUUUAUCCACUUAGGGAGAGUAAGAAUUGAUCUUGUCACUCCCAUAUUCAGCCAAUAUGCCACGUAUUGAUUCAAAGCAGAGCUUAAAAAUGAAACGAAAGCAGAUAAAAAACCCUAGACACGGCCAGCUGAUGCAACUGAAAUUGGCAAAUAGCAAAGAUGACAUGAAGUCUGGGACUUCACAAGCGAGGCUGAACGAGGAUGAAGCUGUGAGGGUUGCAUACAAACAUGGGACGCCUCUUGAAGGAGGCAAAAUUGGUGAUUCUGAGCCUGUGGAUUUAUUUUCCAGUCCUCAUCAUAUUCCAAAGUAGGGCAAUAUGCCUACAAUACAAAGGCAAUACGAAGGCAAUACGAAGGCAAUAUGACCACAAUAAAUAUACAAUACGAAGGCAAUAGUAGGGCAAUAUGGCCACAAUAAAUAUACAAUACGAAGGCAAUAGUAGAGCAAUAUAAGUACAAUAUAAAGGCAAUAUUAGGGCAAUAUACAUAUAAUACAUACACAUUACAGUAUUAAGGGGAUACAAACACAAUACAAAUGCAAUGUUAAGUCAAUGUACAUACAAUACAUACACAUUACAGACAACAUUUCACACAUGCGAAAGAAAUCGCCUCCCAAACUGAACAAUACUAUCUAUCCCACGAAGGGAAAAUGAAGGCAACAAAAGAUCCAUGUACUCGGGUGAGAUGAACUGAAGCAGCAUUCACCGUUACUACAGGUCCAUCAAAAGAUCCAUGUCUUUGUCCUUUCUUCUCGCUGCAUGCACGAGGCUAUGAUGAGCCAUUCCAUCAAAACCCAUAUUCAGUACCUGCCAGACACCAGCUACAUCAAUUUCACUCCAAUUGUGGUCUGGUGAGAUGACCGAAGCAUAAUCUCGGAACAUUUCGAAGCCGUUGUUGAAACAUUCAACCAUUUCAUGGUUAUAUUCUUCAGAUUGUGUGAAUGUUUCGAGGGCAUUUUUCUUUAUGUCUUCCAAUUUCAACUUCAAGGACUCUAACUCUUUGCUCCGACUUUUUGCUUUAAGAGCUUGCUUCACCUCUCCAGCGUAUGCUUUGUUCAACUUGUUGGCCAAGUUUCCCAUAACUUGGCCAUGAAUAUCGCACUUACUCUCCCACCAAUCCGUUGCCUUUGACAUAUAUUGGAGGUGGUGCUUGACGGCAGAGAUUUUGUCAAGCGGAUCAUGAGUGUCAGCCUCACUUCCAGAUGAAGUGGGAUCAUGAUUGGGAGUCCGAGGUGGAGAUGGGAAUGGCACAUGCCAGGGCUGGUCCCCCGGGUAACUCACAUGCUCGUUAGGAGGGCGUACAUCUGACAUGUUGAAGUAUUACUGGGGACAAUUCACAGCUGUUGCCUGUAACCAAACAAAUAGAGGUACAUUCAGUCUCCAGUUGUAAACGACUAUAUGGUUAGGUUGAGUGGAGAAUAUUUGCCUUUCAGUAAGACUAAUUACCUUUCCCGUUAAGAAGGUGCCUCUGUUGCAGUUCUAUAUAGGAAGGUUCAGUUAUAUGUACGAACUUAUAUGAGGUAAAUUGGGUUUUGUGUUGGUGCAUUAAAUUGAUGGGAUUCAAAACUACACCAUUAACUCCUUGGCUGUAAGUUACAGCAGUACAACAUGACAUUAACAACAAUAAAAUUGUAUCUCUAUGUAUUUUUGGCAACUGGGCAAAAAUAAUGUUGACGAGUGGGUUCAGAUUCUCCUCCUAAACGUAUUUUUGGCAACUGGGCAGCUGUGUUCAAGCACCCCAAAUUAGGAGGGGCAGAGUACACUGACACUUCAUUUCUUUCAGUACCAUUAUCACCACCAUGCAUCGCCUCCACCUCGCUAAAAUCAAUCAUAUCCAUAAAAUCUGUCCCUACUUCACCUCCCAAAUCAGUGACAUUUGUAUUAUUCCAAGUUACUUCAUUGCUUUCAACAAUGGCAACUGAAGAAUGACCCAUCCGACUACUAUCUGUCGUGAUAUGCAUACUAUGAACUACAUCAUUUGUCAGUCCUUUAUCUUCUAUACUCAUGAGUAAGGGAGCUAGUUUUGAAGGUGUUACCUCGGAAUUGUACUUCAUAAAAAAAUUGACAUCAUCAUCGUCCUCAAUCUUUAUGCGCUUCCACUCAUUCGAGGCCACCAAAACUGAGAAUUUUAAGCAAACCUUGUCUUCCCUGCUGUUUGUAUUACCAAUCUGAUGCACACGGUCCAACAGUUCAGCAAAAUUGAUGGUCCGUGGAACUAUUAAGCCUUUUGAGUCACCCCCUUCGUAUUUGCACAUCUUCUUCGAGGUGACCCAUUUUCCAUUGUAGCACACGAGAAUAACAAUUGUCUCCAUUUCUGACCAUGACAAAACAACAUUUCAUUCACACAAUAUAACCACAAUAACCAUACAAUACAAUAGCAAUAUAACCACAAUAUAACAGCAAUAUAUAGGCAAUAUAAUGGCAAUAUAACAGCAAUACGACUGUAAAAUAAGAGGAACACAUCAGAAUCACACUAUACAGAUCUACUACAUCAAAUAGAAAUUCCCAAGUUUCAAGAUUCACAUAUCCAGACCAAUCUAAAUGCAAUUGGUACAAACCCAGAUGAAUGAGCAUGAAUAUUCAACAAAACCUAACCCAAAUAAAUUAAAGCCAAAACGAAUUUAACACAAACCCAAACAAUCAAACUAUAACCCAUUUCACAUAAUACUGAUAUUAAGAAAAUAACCAUCAACACUACCUUUUCGAGGUCGGCAAUCCAGUAGAGCUUCAAGGUUGCAAGCAGCUAUUCAGAAGACAUAGCUAAAGGGAGGGGUUCGCGAUUCCAAACAGAGAGCAAGAGAUCGAAUAGGGGAGAAAGGGUCAUAACGAAGCUAGAGAGAGACAGCUGCGCUAUGAGAAACAGAGCAAAGAGAGAGACAGAGAGUUGUGCUAGAGAGACAGAGAGAGAGCCAAGAGAGAGAGAGCCAAGAGCGAGAGAGCCAAGAUAGAGAGAGCCAAGAGAGACACAGAGAGCUGUGAUAGACAGAUACCAAAGAGAAAGAGAGCUGUGCCAGAGAGAGAGAGAGAGAGCUGUGUGAGCUUCUUCUCUCCAAAAUUUCUGAACUUGUGAAAAAUCAGCAAUAAGUGGGCAAUAAUUUUAUAUUUAUAGGUGAUAGUUGUACAAAAAUUGGGAAAGGAUGGUAUUUUUAAUUAAAAUUAUGAAAUGGGUGUCAUUUAGGGCUAUUUCCCAAUAGUUUUUGGGUAUGUUUCUAAAGUGCAUUCCAUGUGGUGUUUUUUUUAUAAUUUCAACCACUAUUUUGGAUAUAUUACUAAAGCUCCCAAAUUAAAAUUACGAAUCUCUAUCCCCAAUUUCCAAGAUACUAUUGGAAGUAUUGGUGGCUGGGUGGCUGCUAGCCGUGAUUAGCUAUUGGUGGUUGUCCCAUUUACACGUUUGUUUCCCUUAAUUUAGGGUGACUUAAUCUUGUUACUUUUAAUUAGAAUUUCCCUAUAAUUAGGGAUUAAAUCACGAAAAUUAAAGUUGUGGCAUGUUGGCCAACAGCUCUUAGACUGGCCAAUGGUUCUUAACCCGGCCAGUGGAUAUUAGCCUUCCCCAACUUAUGCAUAUAUACCUUUGUAAUCUUGUAAAGAAGAUAUAAUGAGAAAACAUAUUCUCCCCAUCAUUUUCCACACAUACUUUUAACAAUCCCCAGAAGAGGUUAAAGCAAAUCCUCCAUCAUCCAUCCGAACAAGAUAAAGCUAAUCUAGCAACAGCAUGUGUGGUGCUCUAUUUUGGCUAAUAUAGAUAGGAAAUCAAUGAAAAAACAAGUUAACAAGAUAAUUUUGAACGGAGAUACUCUGAAAUUAUUUGUCUCUCACAUAGUCAUACUCAUACGUGAAGACUUAAGAAGGCUUUUCUAGCCCACCUAGUUUGACAAAAGAACAAAAAAUAAUAAUAAUGAUUAAAGGCUUUCAGGACAUCUUUUUGGUCUUGAUGAGUAGGAAAACAAGUGCAAGUGGAAAUAGGUAACCCAAUGUAUGAAAAGAGAAGAAAGAAACCAUUGACUGAUGCCCAUUUUCUUACCCUGUUGUGUCCUUUCAUGGUCUAAGUGUUCCCACGUACCCCUCCAUUUUCUUUCUUAAACCUUGUCCACUUAUCUCACUGGGUUUGCUAUUAGAGCUCAUUGACAGAGGAGAGAGUCCUGUUCUUCACAGAAUUGAAGCAAAUCAUUGCAUUUCUUUUAUGAGCUUUACUAUCCCAUCAGAUCAGAUCUAUCCAAGACUUGGUAUGUUUUCUUCAUCGGUUUAGAUUCAUGGUCCAAGAAUUUUACUCUGUAAUUGAUAAAGCAUGCAAUUCAAGUUAAGUUAGGAUUUGCAUAAAAUAAAACUGCUCCAUUUUGCACAUGUUGAUUGCUUAUAUAUGCACCAUUUUCAUAUUUUGUUUUGAUCUUAAAACAUAUGCAUGUAUGUGAGAGCAAUACUUUGGAAAUUCUGUCAAUUAGGGUUGCGUAAGAGGUGAAUCCAUAUGGACUCAGCUCCAACAGCUCUCUUGGUUGGCAAAAUUAUGGACAUUCUCGAGAACGAAGCAUACUCCAUAGCCGCUGUCCGUGAUGAAGUUGAUGAGAUUAAGCAGGAGCUGGUAAGCAUGACAUCCUUCCUAGAGGAUGUUGAGGGCAAGAAAACACAGACAGAAACACAGAAAGCUUGGGUCACAAGUGUCAGAGACUUAACCAGUGAUGUUGAAGAUAUCAUCGAUGAAUUCAUGUAUCAUACGUAUGAGCAGCAAAGUAGGGGACGAUUUGCAAGGUGGCUCCACAGGACCAUUCAUAUUCCAAAGAAUCUCUUCUAUCGGCGUAAAAUUGCCAACAAGUUACACAAAAUCACUAAAAUGAUCAAGGCCAUUCCAGAGAGAAAUAAGAGAUAUGCUCUUGAUGGUGUAGUAGGAACAAGUUGGGAUGAUAUUAGCAAAUGGGUCAAGAACCAAGCAGUGUCUUCUCUCUUUAUUAACAAAGAUGAACUCGUCGGGAUUGAUGGAAAGAAGCAAACAUUAACUGCAUGGCUGCUCAAUGAAGAGCAACACCUAACUGUUGUCUCCGUGGUCGGGAUGGGAGGAUCCGGGAAAACAACUCUAGUUGCCAAAACCUUCGCCAACGAAACUGUAAAGAGACAUUUUGAUUCUUAUGCUUGGAUCACUGUCUCCCAAACUUAUGUGAUUGAAGACUUGUUUCGGAGCUUGAUCAAGGAACUCCACCAAACAAGGAAUGAAUAUGUCCCUGCAGACCUGAUAUCCAUGGGCUACAGAGACUUGAUACAACUUAUGCUGAACUACCUGGAGUCUAAAAGGUACCUAGUAGUACUGGAUGACGUGUGGGAUAUCAAACUUUGGAGAGAAAUAAGGAUAUCACUUCCAGAUAGACAGCUUGGAAGUCGAAUCAUGUUUACAACUCGAAAAGAAGACAUAGCAUUCCAUUGUUUUGGAGUUGAAAGCCAUGUUCACUGUAUGCAACCCCUGGAAAAGAAUUACGCUUGGGAGCUUUUCAGCAGGAAAUCAUUCUCUACCUUUGAUGGUAAAUGUUGUCCACCAGAGCUUGAAAAAUUAGCUUGGGAACUCAUGGAAAAGUGUAAAGGCCUACCUCUAGCUAUCAUAGCUUUAGGUGGUCUUAUGUCUUCCAAGAAAUUAGCUGCGGAGUGGAGUAAAGUCUACAAUGGCUUAAAUUGGCAUCUAACAAGCCAUCAUUUGUUAGAACCUGUGAAGAGCAUCUUGUUACUUAGUUUCAAUGAUUUGCCAUAUCGCUUGAAGCAUUGUUUUCUAUAUUGUUCCCUUUUUCCAGAAGAUUAUUUGAUUCGAAGGAAAAGGCUCAUUAGGUUAUGGAUAGCUGAAGGAUUUGUUGAACAUGCUAGAGGGGUCACACCUGAACAAGUUGCAGAUAGCUAUCUUAUGGAACUCAUUUUUCGUAACAUGCUACAAGUUGUAGAGAGGAAUGAAACCGGUAGGCCAAAAUCAUGUAAGAUGCAUAUGACCUUAUGCGAGAGCUUGCUCUGUCAACAUCUGAGAAAGAAAAAUUUUCUAUUGUACAUGAUGGGAAAGAAGUACUGGAAGACAUUGGAGCCCGCCGUUUGUCAAUCCAAACAACCCAAGGAGGAAUUGAAUCUUGCAUUGGUAUGUCACGCCCUCGUUCUUUUCUUGUAUUCGUUACUGGCAUAUUCUCAUUUUCUUUCUCAAAGUCAUUGCCUUCUGGAUUCAAAUUGUUGAGGGUUUUAGAUUUGGAGGAUGUCCAAAUUGAUAAGCUGCCACAUAAUUUAGUGUACUUAUUCAACUUAAGAUACUUAAGUUUGAAGGGAACUCAAAUUAAGGAGCUUCCAAAAGCCAUAGGACUGCUCCGCAACCUUCAGACAUUGAACAUCCUCAAUACUAAGAUAGAGGUACUUCCCAGAGGUAUUUCCAAGUUGCAAAACCUGCGCCAUCUAAUUAUGCUCCGUCAUUCUGGAGAGUAUAUGGCCUUCAAAACUGCCCAUGGGACAAGAGUGCCAUUUAAUAUUAGUAAGCUGAAGAAAUUGGAAGUUUUGUCAUGUGUUGAAUCAGAAGGAAACAUUAUAAGGCUCAUUGGGAAUAUGACUCAACUUACAAGGAUUGGCAUUACGAAUGUAAAAGAGAGAGACGCAAUGGACCUAUGUGAUUCAAUUCAAAAGUUGAAGCUACUUCAGUGCUUGGCUUUAAGGGUAAGUGGUGAGGAGGAGUUUCUUGACGUCAAUGCAUUAUCUUCACCUCCUCCACACCUUCGAAAACUUAUUUUUGGCAGCAAGCUGCAAAAGGUACCACCUUGGUUCUCUUCGCUCCAGAACCUUACAUAUCUGUAUCUUCAUUGGACGAGACUUGACGAGGAUUUACUACCUCAUAUUGAAGCAUUGCCAUGUCUGGGAAGGCUUUUACUUGUCAAUGCCUAUGUUGGUAAUGAGUUGUGUUUCAACAGAGGCUUUCCAAAGCUUACUAUUCUGGAGUUGUUUAAUUUCCCCUUAUUGAAUAAGAUAACUAUAGCAGAAGGGGUGAUGAGGAAUCUCCGGUUAUUAACACUUGCUAGAUGUAUGGAGUUAAAGGCAUUGCCACAGGGUUUUGAAUACCUUAGUAAGCUAGAAACACUUGAAUUGUUGUCUGUUUCAAUGCAACUUAUAGAGUCCAUACAAGAAGGAGGGGUGGAUCAUCCAACGGUAAAACACAUCACCGUCAUUACAAAUUAUUCUUUGAAAUGCUUGAUAAGAGCUCAUCAUAGUUCAUCCACAUGAAGGUACGUUAAUUUUUUCCUUGCUAGAAGGUAUGUAAUUUGAACUGUUCUAAUAGAAAUUGUUCCAAAUUAUUCCAAAUUAACAUUUUGGUAAAGCCAUAUAAUUUGUUCAUGGACCAAAUACUAAAUCCUUAAUAGUUAGUUUCUUUAGCAUAAUAUAAGCAUUGAAAUUUCAUCCGAUUUCCAUCCUGGUUUCAUAAUGCUCUUUUUUUCUGCAGAAUCUAGGCUGAGAGGUGAAGAUUCAAUCCUGUUUGCGCCAGGAAGAACCCUUUCUGUUGUGAAGCUGCAAACACUAAAUCUUAUUUUCUUUUGUUAAUGCUUGAAUCAAGUAAUACCAAGACUCUCUGCUCAUAGAUUGCAUUUUCAGUACUGUCUGUUUGUAUGUCUUGUAAUAUUGUUGGAGAUUGACUCACUUUAGUAGCAAUUGAUAACAGAUUUGAGCCAUGCAUUCUUUUUUGUUUCUUUUGUGUUUCAAUUGGUGAAAGAUAUGCUACUACUUCUGCUCAGGCCUGCAUAAUUUUUUCACAACACUAGCCUAGAAAUUCGUUUCUAGCUUUGAAGCUGUAAAUAUUUAGCCACCCCAUCCCCAGAAAUUUCAAUUCAUUUACUGUUAUUUUUAAUUUGGCACCUCAAAACCAACCAAGUAAAGAAUUCAUAUGUGUUAGUUUUAUUCCCAAGUUGAGUAACUGAAAUUUAUAUAUACAAGAAAAUGUUUAACUCAUAAAGAUGUUUUUACCAAGAAAUUGAAGGAAGCAAUAUGUUAGUUUGAGUAAGUCAUUUUGAGAGGAAAUUAGAUACAGAUUACACAAGUCGUAACGAGGAAGAAGUACAAAGAUGAACAUUAUUUAAGAGAGAUACAUAGGCAUUAUACUCAUUUCUUAUGUAUUAAAUAGUUUUUGGGUAUGUUUCUAAAGUGCAUUCCAUGUGGUGUUUUUUUUUUAUAAUUUCAGCCACUAUUUGGGGUAUAUUACCAAAACUCCCAAAUUAAAAUUAGGAAUCUCAAUCCCCAAUUUCCAAGAUUUUUUUUUUUCUACGUAUCAUUUAAUAAGUUCCGUACUUAAGUUGCCAAACAAUGGAUUACAUACAUACUAUUGGAAGUAUUGGUGGCUAGGUGGCUGCUAGCCGUGAUUAGCUAUUGGUGGCUGUCCCAUUUACACGUUUGUUUCCCUUAAUUGAGGGUGACUUAAUCUUGUUACUUGUAAUUAGAGUUUCCCUAUAAUUAGGGAUUAAAUCACGAAAAUUAAGGUUGUGGCGUGUUGACCAACAGCUCUUAGACUGGCCAAUGGUUCUUAACCCGGUCAGUGGAUAUUAGCCUUCCCCAACUUAUGCAUAUAUACCUUUGUAAUCUUGUAAAGAAGAUAUAAUUAGAAAACAUAUUCUCCCCAUCAUUUUCCACACAUAUUUUUAACAAUCCUCAGAAGAGGUUAAAGCAAAUCCUCCAUCAUCCAUCCAAACAAGAUAAAGCUAAUCUAGCAACAGCAUGUGUGGUGCUCUAUUUUGCACGACUACAAAAAAGCAAAAAGACGACGGUAAAUCACCGUCGUGUAUUCGGUUUUUCAAUGGUCGUGGAAUCCAUCGUCAUCUUUUCCCUCAUAAACCACGACGCUAAAUCACCGUCGUUGUUAAAAUAUACAACGUCAUCAACAAAUACAAAACGACGUCUUUGUACUGCAAAAAGAUCUAAAAAAGCAGUCGAGGAUGAGAAUAGACGACCAACUCUCUAAAAAAACCGUCGUUAAAAAGGAAAAAUAUGACACAUAUUAACAGAACAAGGCCGCAAGAUAGACAUACAACGACGAAAAUUAAAAUAAGACGCCGUUAAAUAUCAUUUUCACGACAAUAAAAAAUAAGACGUCUUUAAAUACAUUAGAAGACGACGUUAUUGAUACCUACUACGUCGCCUAUAUAAAAACAGCCGUCGUAAAAUAAAUUUUCCACUUCGAUUUUUCUAUAAAAGAUGACGUGGAAAUAGUUGUCAGUGUCAUUAUUUACGACGUAUGUAUUUAUACAGUAGACGAUGAACAACGAAACAACGUCGGUUACAAAUAUAUGAGAGUCGUAUUACAAAAUUUAUACGUCCUAUUUUCAGAAACAAACAACGACGAUAAAUAUUAGACGUUGUUAAAUAAAACAACGUCGAAAACAAAUAAAAACAGACGUGUUUAGUCUGCUAAAGUUCUAAAAAAUAGUUGAGGAUGAGAAUAGACGACCAACUCAAACAAAUCACCGUCGUUAAAAAGGAAAAAUAUGACACAUAUUAAAAGAACAAGGCCGCAAGAUAGACAUACAACGACGACAACUAAAACACUACGCCGUUAAAUAUAAUUUUCACGACAAGAAAAAAUAUGACGUCUUUAAAUACAUGAGAAGACGACGUUAUUGAAAUCUACUACGUCUCUUAUUUACAAACAACCGUCGUGAAAUAAAUUUUCCACUUCGAUUUUUCUAAAAAAGAUGACGUGGAAAUAGUUGUCAGUGUCAUUAUUUACGACGUAUGUAUUUAUAUAGUUGACGUUGAAAUGCGAAACAACGUCGGUGGCAUUUAUAUAGUCGACGUUGUAUUUAUAUGUAUUCAUUACUCACGACGCACUUAUUAAUAUAGACGACGUUGAACUUCUAAACAACGUCGGUUACAAAUAAAUGAGAGCCGUAUUACAGAACAUAUAGACGGCGUUGAUUAUGAUGAGAGCCGUAUUACAAAUAACGUCGUUUAAUUGAUAUUAGACGGCGGUUAUAAUGAAUUACCGUCGAAAUUCAUUUCGUUCCUCUUCGUUUAUAAAAGAACUUGCGACGUGGAAAAUGUAUGAUGACGUCGUAUUUUUUAACGUUCAGAUUAUAUAUCUCGUUUUUUAGACGUCGGUAUUAUGGGAUUGGAGUCGUGUUAUUUUGAAUUACAUGGCGGUUCUUAAUCCUUCCCCGACGUGAUAUCCUGAAUAAUUGCUUCACAAUAGCGUCGUGGUUCUUCAUUGUUACGUUGCUUUAAGACGUCGGUAAAUAUGCUGAAUAACUAGUUCACAAUAACGUCGUGUUUUAUUUGAACAGACGUCGUUUUUUAUGCAGAAUAUAAUGAUGUAAUCUGGAACCAGUAUUUUUUGCACUGAUUGUUUUGUGGCCAAAACCUGUAUAAUGAAAGUGAAGAAAUCACAUUACAAUAUAUUACAAAAUUAAUGUCAUACACUGCCAAUUACAUAAGCAUCAUUCAAUCCAUAUAUCUUCACACCCAUCUCGAAUAUUUUGACCACCUAACUCACCCAUCAGUUCAUCAAAUGUGUCAACAUUUGGCAUCCCUCUAGUAAAUGGCUCACACUCAAUUAUCACAUCACCUAAGACUUCAUCACCAAUAACAUCAUUAUAUUCUCUAUUAGGCAUUGAUAACACUACCGACCAACCACAAUGCAUCGGGUCGUCAACAAAAAAUAUUUGUUUGACUUGAGAAGCCAAAACAAAUUGGUCAUUCCUAUGUCCAAUUUUACUCAAAUCUACAAGGGUAAAUCCAAGUUCGUCGACUACAAUACCAGAAUUAUCUAUCCAAUCACACCUAAAGACUGGGAUUGUAAACUUUUGGUAGUCAAGGUCCCAAAUUUCUUGAAUGACACCAUAGAAACCCAUAUUUGAGAGAAUUGGGUUUUUAUCCUUGGCACUAGCAACUUGCAUGGUAUGUGCAAGUAAAUAAACUCCACUAUUUUGAGUUGUCCGCACAUCAUCUUGUGCCUUGAUAUUGAAUUUAAUACCUUUAAUAAGAUAGCUCCUAUAUAAUGGCACUGCCAUGUUUGGACCAGCUGCUAGCCACCUUAAAUUUUCUGAUACGCCAUGAUUGUCUUCCUCAAGUUCACUUUGAACUUGCAAAUUAAUCAUAUCUUAAUUCAAUCUAACAUAGAAAUAAGAAGAAAAUUAAAAGAGAAAUAUGUUAUUCAACAACAUAUACCUUGAAGCGUAGCCAUUGAAUGAAAGUGCUAUUGUGCUUAUCCUGCAGCCACUUUGUUCUCUUUCUAAAUUUUGGAUAAGCAGUCUUGAUGUGGAUCAUAUGUUGCCUACAUGACACGAAAAAUUCAAGCAUUACGGUCCCAAAUAUAUAAGAUAAACAUAAGAAAUAAUUUAAAAUGGAAACUUAAAGAAUAAAACUCAUACGUACUCGAUAUAAGGUAGGACUUCCUCCGUAUUCUCCAAUUCAACAUAACAGAUAAUGUAAUCCAUGAACCCAUUAAACAGAAAAUCCAUGAACCCAUACCUAUAAGCACAUUAUUAACAGAUCGCAAAGCAUAUACCUAAAACCCUUUAACAAAACAACUUAAUAUCAUUCAAUGAAUUUACCAGGGGAAGAUAGGGUUUGUACUUACAGGUUGGACGAGCUCACAGAUUCGACGGAGCCUGGAGAGUGCAACUUUUAAUUAGAGCAGAAGUGAGAGAGCGAAAUGUUAUGUUGCGCGAAAUCUGAAAAUUUUAGGGUUCAGGGUUAGAAGUAUAAGAAUAAGAGCCAAAUCUAAAAAAUUUAGGUAGCGCGAAAAUUUUUAGAGAGCGCGCUCUUUAAAACGUCGAAAGAAAAACCAUGGCGAAAGUUCUACAAGAACCGACGUAAAUGUAAUAUUCCACGACGGAAACACUGAACGUAACGCCGUUUAUUUUGACGCUUCAUUUUUCGGAAUAAUUUUAAAUUUAUUUUGAAUAUUUUGAUAUAAAGACGACUGAAAAACCACGUCGGGGUUAAGAAAUUAAAAACGUUGUAAAUUAUAAUAGACGACUUACAUAUUAAAAUGACGUCGUUUAAAGUAUAAACCAUGUUGGAUAUUUUACUGCACGACGUAACAUAUGUAUUCCACAACUCAACCACCGUCGUUAAAAAUUAAUACCCUAAACCCUUAAAACUAAAUUAUAUAAUUUAAAAAAUUAAGUUUAUAAAAGGGUUUAUGGUUUUACAGCCUAAUAUAUACCCUAGACUACCCAAAAAUUAUACUUUAAAAAUAAACCCCAAUAAAUAACAACCCUAAUCUCUAAACCCUAGACUCUAAACCCUAAACCAUAAAACUAGAAGUGAUUUUAUGACUCAUCAAAACAAUUUUGUUUUGGAUGGUCAUUUUAAAUUUUUGUUAUUCAAAAUGAAUUUUUUCAAGGUUUAGGGGGAAGAAAAUAUAUCAAUGACUUCAUAGGAGUUGACUUUGCAUUUUUCUGAUUUAUUUUAAAUUUAUUUUGAAUAUUUUGAUAUAAAAAUAAUAAAAUAUUCUUAUCACAAUAACAAACCACGUCGGGGUUAAGAAAUUGAAGACGUUGUAAAUUAUAAUAGACGACUUACAUAUUAAAAUGACGUCGUUUAAAGUAGAAACCAUGUCGGAUAUUUUACUGCACGACGUAAUAUAUGUAUUCCACGACUCAACCACCGUCGUUAAAAAUUAAUAUUAAAAUGACGUCGUUUAAAGUAGAAACCAUGUCGGAUAUUUUACUGCACGACGUAAUAUAUGUAUUCCACGACUCAACCACCGUCGUUAAAAAUUAAUACCCUAAACCCUUAAAACUAAAUUAUAUAAUUUAAAAUUUUAAGUUUAUAAAAGGGUUUAUGGUUUUACAGCCUAAUAUAUACCCUAUACUACCCAAAAAUUAUACUUUAAAAAUAAACCCCGAUAAAUAACAACCCUAAUCUCUAAACCCUAGACUCUAAACCCUAAACCAUAAAACUAGAAGUGAUUUUAUGACUCAUCAAAACAAUUUUGUUUUGGAUGGUCAUUUUAAAUUUUUGUUAUUCAAAAUGAAUUUUUUCAAGGUUUAGGGGGAAGAAAAUAUAUCAAUGACUUCAUAGGAGUUGACUUUGCAUUUUUCUGAUUUAUUUUAAAUUUAUUUUGAAUAUUUUGAUAUAAAAAUAAUAAAAUAUUCUUAUCACAAUAACAAACCACGUCGGGGUUAAGAAAUUGAAGAUGUUGUAAAUUAUAAUAGACGACUUACAUAUUAAAAUGACGUCGUUUAAAGUAGAAACCAUGUCGGAUAUUUUACUGCACGACGUAACAUAUGUAUUCCACGACUCAACCACCGUCGUUAAAAAUUAAUACCCUAAACCCUUAAAACUAAAUUAUAUAAUUUAAAAUUUUAAGUUUAUAAAAGGGUUUAUGGUUUUACAGCCUAAUAUAUACCCUAUACUACCCAAAAAUUAUACUUUAAAAAUAAACCCCAAUAAAUAACAACUCUAAUCUCUAAACCCUAGACUCUAAACCCUAAACCAUAAAACUAGAAGUGAUUUUAUGACUCAUCAAAACAAUUUUUUUUUGGAUGGUCAUUUUAAAUUUUUGUUAUUCAAAAUGAAUUUUUUCAAGGUUUAGGGGGAAGAAAAUAUAUCAAUGACUUCAUAGGAGUUGACUUUGCAUUUUUCUGAUUUAUUUUAAAUUUAUUUUGAAUAUUUUGAUAUAAAAAUAAUAAAAUAUUCUUAUCACAAGAACAAACCACGUCGGUGUUAAUAAAUUGUAGACGUUGUAAAUUGUAAUAGACGACUAAGUUGUUAAAAUGACGUCGUUUAAAUGAGAAACCAUGGCGGAUAUUUGACUAUCCGACGUAAAAUAUAUAUUCCACGACUUAACCGCUGUCGUUACAAAGUACUACCCUGAACCCUUAAGAAAUUGAAAACGUUGUAAACCAUAAACGACUCAAUUGUUCAAAGAACGUCGUCUAAAUAUCCUUUUACGUCGGAUUUGUUUAAAACGAAACAACAAAAAACGAUGGUUUUUGACUUUAUUAGGUCGUUUGAAAAGUAUUACACGUCGGUUACGCAAUUUGUAUGUUUGUUUUUUUUUAAUUUAAGAAAACCUCAACAAAUUUUUACAUUAUAUAUUAUAGACAAAAUUUAUACAUUAUACAUAAAUAUCAAGUGUUCAAUAAUUCCCAAACAAACUCUGCCCAUUCAUUCCGGACUUCAUCAAUUGCUUCUUAGGGGUAUGGCGCUUCCUGUUUUCCCUUGGCAUACUGCAUAAACAAUGACUAUUAGGGUUUAUAAAUAAAAAGAAAUUCAAUCACAGACGACCAUAUUUUUCAUAACCGACGUAGUAUAUCUAUUCAACGACGGUAAUUUUACAUGACCGUCGUUGAUAAUACAAAAAACGACGUAAAAUGUAUGAAGGUAAUUUCUUCUUACCUUCUUCUCAAACGCCAAGGAAGGAUCCAUGAUGAUGUCCCUCAUGAAGCGCAUCACAUAAUACCCGCAUUCGACACUGCUGGGUUGCUUUGGUGUGCCUGACAGAGUUUUCCAAAUUACUGCUUUACGGCCUGCUCUGGCUAUGUGAGAAUUAUAUAUUUUUAUAGCACUGUUCACGAUGUUUUUGCCCUCUUCAUCGACCACACGAUUUCCGGGCAGAGGAUCCAGAAAAUAGACGGUUUCCCUCUUUGCUCUCACAAUCAGCAAGAUCCAAUGACGGCUGCACAAAAUUAAUAUAAAAACGACGGUUAUUUACAAAAACGACGUAUUAUAAUAUUUCACACGACGAAAUAAAGUAGCAAUCGACGACAUUAUAUAUUUAUCACGACGAUAAAUAACUACCGACGUGGUUAGUAGUUUCAAACGACUCAAUAAAAUAAAACACCGACGUGGUUAGUUUAUAAGCUGUCAUUUAUUGAAAAUCAUAAAAACAAAAUCCUGUAAAGGAGACUAACCCUGGAUUGUAAGGCAUCAUGAAAAUCUGUUCACCAUCAGUCUUCUAAAGUCGAGUUGCUACCAAUCGUGAUCUGUCAGCUAUUGUCCCAGAGUUGGCACUAACUGUAGCAGGGUCGAUAAAGCCAACCAUGCUGCACAUAUUUGCUUGUUUCAAAAGAUCAUGUAAGUACCUAAAUAUAUAAAAUAAUAUAAACAAGUCAGCACAAAAAAACACACGACGGUUAUGUAUAACAAAACGACGUAUUAUAAAAUUUCACACGACGUACUGAAAUAGACAACGACGUUAUAAUAUAUUUAUCACGACGGUACAUACUAACGACGUGGUUAGUUAGUUAAGACGACGCAAUAAAUAAACCAACGACGUAUUAUUUUAGAAUGACAAACCUCAUAUAUACAGCAACCACAGUAGCUCCUAUUUCUUCCAUGCUUGCAAAUUGUGUAAUAUCUUCAGGCAGGAUGAAGGUAUCGCGUUCUAGACCAAACACCUCCUUAUCAAUUGUAAAGUUCAGGGUCUUAUCCUGAGGCACGAGUGUCGUUUCCACAUAACGACAAAGGGAUUUUAAAGAAUAUGGCACCUCCAUAUUUGAAUAAUCAACAACUUUAAUAACCUGUUUAAAGAAAUAAAAAAAAUGACGUGGUAAUUCAAUAAAAACGACGGUUUAAGGAAUAAAACGUCGUCUGAAAAGAAUUUAAACGACGGUGAAAAAACCAUCGUGGUGAAUAAUUUAUUACGUCUUAGAAAAAAAUUCCGCCGUCUAAGUUGUAAACAAACGACGGUUUAAAGAAAAAUAUCGACGUCUGAAAUUUUGAAAAACAAAUAAAAAAGGCAAAGUUAUGUGAACAUACCUGGUCGUCAUGCUUUUCUUCAUAUUCUUUCUCCUUUUCAUCUUGUUUUUCUUCUUUCUUCUCUUCAUCUUUUUUUUCUUCUUCCUUCUCUUCAUCUUUUUUUUCUUCAUUCUUCUCUUCAUCUUGAUUUCCUUCAUUUUUCUGUUUUAAGUAAUAAAGAAUGUAGAGAUAGUAAAAAAAUUAAAUUCAAACGUCGUGGUAAGACAAAACACAAGACAGUAUGUAAGAAUUAUGGACGUCUUAAAUUAUUAAACGAUGGUAGAUAGUAAAAAUAACGACGUUUAAUGGCGUGUAAAACAAGUAAACUAAAUACGACGUGGUAUUGAAAUACAAACGACGGUUUAUUUUUAAAAUCGUCGUGGGAUGUAUUUCAAACGACGGUUUUAUUAAUAAUAACGACGUCUAAUAGUUUUUAAAAAAACAGAGAAUUCAAAGUUCAGAUAUGUUACCUUUUCUUCCUGAUGUUUCCCAUUUUUGGCAGUAUCAUCCUCAAAAUGUAGGGAUCUCACAUCACCUCCAGAGCAGCUUGCUUUGUCAGACAUUGGAUUUUUGGGACUUUGGCUAAUUCUUGGUUUAAGCAUGCUUGGAUCAAAAUUGGGAAUUAAUUGGGAAAGCUGACUCAGGAAAUGCUCCCUCUCAGCCUCUACCAAUUGUUUGGUUCUAGCCUCCAUCCUUAAAGCCUCUUCCCUUGCCUUAGCUUCCAUCUUUUUAUUCUCUUCUUGAAGGAGAACUCUUAAACUGUCCUUUAAACGGUCGUCAAAGCUCAUCCUCUGUGGUUUGGGUAAAUUGAAAUAUUGCCUUGGGGAAAUCCCAGCACCUACACCUCUCACUCUGCCUGGAUGAUCGGGGCCCAAAGCCAUGGUCAGCACAUCAUUGCUGCCAGAUACACUGACUUUGCCUUCCGAGACUUGUUUUUACAAUUCAUCCUAAAACAAAGAUAUAUAAAAAAGUAAGAACAAAAAACACACGGCCGUUAUUUAUAUACAAACGACGUAUUAUAUAAUUUCACACGACGCAAUAACAUAUAAAUCGACGUUAUUAUAAUUUAUCACGACGGUAGUUAUACCGACGUGGUUAGUUUUUUAAAACGACGAAAUGAAUAAACCACCAACGUCUUAUGCUUUAUUUACAGAUAACAGAGGGAUGAUUCAAUAUUCACACCUUUAACGACCUUGUUUAAAACAUUUCGACGUAGUAAUUUAAUACAAACGACGCAAAAAUGAACCACCGACAUCUUAUGCUAUAAUUACAGAAAACAGAGUAGUGAUUCCUGAUUUAGACCUUUAACGACGUUUGUAAAAAAUUUCGACGUGGUAAUAUCAUUCACACGACGCAAAAUAUAACAUAAGACGUAAUAAGAAUUAUUCACAGUUUAAUAAAAAUUUAAAACAGAGUGAGUAGGCUUACAAUUAAUUUUGCUUUCUCUGCCACCCUUGGAUUCGGGAUGUUACCAUGUUUGUCCUGUCUAGCUCUCUUCCAUAAGGUAGAUCGAUCAAUUUCUACCCCAGGCAUGGUUUCCUCCAAUUGAUCCUCCAAACCAGCAUAUCCUUUUCGAGACAAUCGAUGAUUGUACUCAAGUUUCUCCCUAAUCUGUGCAUGUUGAGAAUGCACAGACUCAAAAUCUUUGGAUAACCUUAAAGCUACAAAGGCAUCCCAUUGUGUUUUCUCUAUGAAUUUAUAUGUUUCAGGGGGUUGGCUUAAUCUCUCUCUGUCAUUGGUGUAUGGAAGGAUAUAAUGCCUCGUUAGUGUAGACUUGAAAUCCUUCCAUUUCUUGGCAGCAGAAGCUAACACAGAGUUCUUGCCCCCUUGACCUACCACAAAAGCAAUGUCAACUGCUUCCCAAAUCUGCUCCUUUAUAUCCUUGGGGAUUUGAGCCCAUUUCAUGUCCACAAGUGGAACUCUGGAGCGUGCCAACACACCAAUGUAGGACUGCAUCUCACUAUGUGCUUGGCCAAUUCCUUUCCCCCUUUUAUUGUACUCAACAAUUGACCUGAGUUUCUGAAGUUUUCUCUUCACAACACGAGGCAUUGUGCUUAUACCUCGACCAGACUUUGAAUCAUCAGAGAUUGUUGUCGUGCUGGUUGGUUCUGUCUCAGCAGAUGAUGAGGCAAACUUCAUCUUCUUCGAAGACUUCAUCUUCUUCGAAGACUUCUCUUGAGGAGUUACCAUUCCAAGCUCCUUACCUCCAUUUUUCUUGGAGCCAGAGUCCUUACUUUGGUCUUGAGAAACCAUUUUUACAGACAAAACUGCAAGUGAAAAUAUUUCAGGAAAAGAUUAAGAACACAAACGACGGUUAUUAAUAAAAUACGACGUAUGAUAUGAUUUUAAACGACGCAAUGAAAUAAUCUCAGACGUAAUAAAUGUUUACAACCAAGGUAAUUAAACAACGACGAAAUAAUAUAAAAUAAGACGUAAUAAUAACUUAUUACGUCUAUAUUUACCGGACGACGUGAUAAUUAACUAUAAAUGACGAAAUAUUUAUAUAACAUCGUGGUAUUGAUGUUCACACGACGUCAAUAGUAAUAUACCGUCGUCUAUAUAAGGAUCCAAAACCCUUCUUUCUUUCUCUGUGAAUGUUUGAUUGCAGAUUUGAUUUUUCUGAACCAUGGUUUUUGUUUUCUAAUUUGAUAAAAUACAAGGCCAAGAAAGAAAGUUUUGGAAUCUUAUAUAGACGACGGUAUUUUAAUAUGACGUCGUGGUAUUAACAUUCACACGACGUAAAACAAUAAGAUACUGUCGUCUAUAUUAGAUACCAACCCUACUUUCUUUUUCUUUAUAUUUUAUCAAAUUAGGGAAAAACAAAAACCAUUGUUCAGAGAAAUCAAACCUGCAAUUAAACAAGCAAAUAAAAAAAAGACUAUAAUUUUAAAAACAAUUUUGUCAAUUUUCAGACGACGCUAGAACGACUGACGAACCGUCGUGGUCUACAUAUUUAACCACGUAAAUAAGAAGCUACCGUCGUCUUAUUUAGUUGAGGUAGUUGUCUUCAAAGUUGGAAACUUUCCCUCUUUGUCUGUAUAUUUUAUCAAACUUGGAAAGAAGUAAAAUGAUUUUGGCCAGAAAAAAGGUAAAAAGAUUUUUCAAACAAAAAACGUAUGAGCAUGCAAAACAGCAACCAAAAUAGUGAAAAUGAAAGCUUACCUUUUGCGUGCAAUGAAAGCAAGAGGAAGACGAUGUUUAAGUUCAGAGACGACGAAGAAGACGAGAGGAAGACGAUGAGAUACUAUGACAGUGCUCUGAUAAGGAAAAAAGACAAAAAGUUUUCUUUGGGAGAUUGAAAUUUUUAAUCGGGUUUGGAAACAGUGCAUGUGUAAGUCAGGUAGACGAAAAGUUGCUUACAUAUAAAACCAUUUCAAAAAAAUAAUACGGCGGUUACGUAUAACUACGACGUAUAAAUUACAAAAUACGACGGUACAUUUAACUUCGGACGUGGUAAAUAAAUACGACAAUAGUGUUGUAGGUACCGUCGUAGUAAACUCAAAAAUUAAAGUACAUAAGUAAUAACUUGCGUCAUGGUAGAUUAUUUAACACGUCGUUUUUAUUAAUGUACCGACGUGGAUUUAUGUAAUAUAUGUCGGUCAUACCGACGUUGAUUUUACAAUUUAAACGGCGGUUUUUUUGUAAGGACCGCCGUUGGUUUUAAAAAUUUAUUCUAUAAAUUUGUCACUUUCAUUCAUUUUCGGUUUACAUUUAGGGUUCCAAGUUCUUCCUCUCUCAGAGACACUGUCUCUCACAUCUCAAAGACAAUAAUUUGGAUGUCUUUCUCAAAGAGAAAUUGAGCUUACUCGCAUCAAAUCUAUGUCCACAAGAAGAAGCUUGUCAACUAGCCUUCUCACUUCCUUGAUCAAGCCUGAUAGGACACUUAGUGCUUCUGAAUACUCCUUGCUUUCCAUCAAAAGAGAUGCAAGCCUGGCCUCCACUCGCUGUCGAAGGAAAGUUCGCUUCUCAGGGAAAUCUGAAGAUCAGAUGUGCCUGAUCCUCUGCUUGAUUUUCUUGGCUAAGAAGAUCCUUCAGAUUUGUGAUAGCCUCUUCCUUUAUCCGUAGAGCUUCAGAAGAAGAAGAUGAGUUUCAAGAAUGCGAUAAAGAAUAGAAAUGGCUUCAGAUGGCCUCUAAAGCAUGAGCAAUCGAAUCAGUAGUUGCUGGGAGAUAUGAUGAAGACAUUGUCAAUGCUUUGAACUAUACAAGUCCUGCAGAAAGAUAAAGGACCAAACUGUUAAAGAAACUGAAACAACGGCGGUUUUCUGUUCUACCGUCGUCUUUUCUCGUCGUCUAUAUUAAGGUAAGAUGGCGGUAGAUUUAUAAUUACUGACGUAGAUUAUUUUGUUAAACGUCGUUAAGUGUAAUACAACCGACGUGGAUUUUAUUUUUAAAUUAUAAAUAGAGUUUUUUUUCCCGAAUUCUUUCAGUUUUAGUUUUCAAUUACAAAGCGUGAUAAAUAGAUUUUUCUUUCCCGAGGAAAUUUAAAAUGAGGGAAAUUAAUAUUCUAGAAUUUGUAAACUAACACGACGCAAUAUUACUAACCCGAGGAAAUUAUAAAUAGAUUUUCCUUUCCCGAAGAAAUUUUAAAUUAAUUCAGUUUGAAACAACGACGGUUUUUUGUUAUGCCGUCGUUUUUAACUAACACGACGCAAUAUUUGUUUUGCGACGUGGAAUCUUUUCAUUUAACGUCGUUAGGUUUAAUAUAACCGACGUGGAUUUGAAUUUUUAAAUUAUGAAUAGAAUUUUUUUUCCCGUGAUCUUUCAAUUUAUUUUUCAAUUACAGUGCGUUAUAAAUAGAGUUUUUUUUCCGGAGGAAAUUUAAAAUGAAGGAAAUUAAUGUUCUGGAAUAUGUAAAGUUUCUUUUUUGGAUGACAGAUUUAAAUAAAAUAAGAAUAUAAAAACAACGACUGUUUUUGUAUUACUGUCGUCGUUUUUCGUCGUCUUAAGUAAGACUAAGACGACGUAAUAUAUUUGUUGAGCGACGUUGAUUUGUUUUUUAAACGUCGUUAGGUAUAAUAUAACCGUCGUUGAAAAUUGUCUCUCUGAUUGUAAAUUUACAACGACGUUAGGUAUAAUAUUUGUAGAUACACAAACGCACACACAUCAUCAACUUCCAAAAAAUUGUCUCUCUGAUUGCAAAUCUGUGUCAUCUGUUAAGAUUAUGAUGUGGAACAGAGUUCCAUCUGGUAAGAUUUCGUAACCCUUGGGAUCUCAGAAAAAUCUGAUUAUGUCGGCGGUUUUCUAUAUAAACUGUCGUGGUUAUUUCAAUUCUUGUCAUUAAGUAGAUCUACCGACGUAGGAUAAGAAAAUCAAAGAAAAAAAUUGUUAACAAAAAUUCUUAUUAAGACGACAGUUUAAAUUAAAGGUACGACGUAUAAAAUGAAUAAAUACGACAUUAAAUUUUAUAGUACGAUUUAGAGAUAACGUCGUAGAACUAUACGAGAAUGACGUCGAUAUAUUUAUAUUUUCCGUCGUUGUACAUUAAUUUAAUACGGCGAUAUUUUGUAUUUUAAAGUCGUGGAUUUGUUUGUAAUUAUACGGCGUCUUAUACGAAAACCUCGUCGUGUUAUUUUAUGAGUAAAAACGGCGGCUUUUAUUGAAAUCGUCGUCUUUACUUUCUACGUCGGUUGAUUCAUAACUUCUGCCGUUCUUUGUUGGCUUUGAUUUUACAUUGCGAAAAUCUGUUUCAAAUAGACGUCGGUUGUUUAAUUAGGUACGUCGUUGUUUUUGAACAGCCAUUUGAAUCUCCAUUUUUUAGUUGUCUAAGGUGGUAUUACACGACGGUGUUUUUAGAACCGUCGUCUUUUUAAAAACCACGACGGUUUUCACUUAGACCGUCGUUGUUUUCUGGUCGUCUUUUUCACUUUUUGUAAUAGUGUUGGCUAAUAUAGAUAGGAAAUCAAUGAAAAAACAAGUUAACAAGAUAAUUUUGAACGGAGAUACUCUGAAAUUAUUUGUCUCUCACAUAGUCAUACUCAUACGUGAAGACUUAAGAAGGCUUUUCUAGCCCACCUAGUUUGACAAAAGAACAAAAAAUAAUAAUAAUGAUGAAAGGCUUUCAGGACAUCUUUUUGGUCUUGAUAACAAGUGCAAAUGGAAAUAGGUAACCCAAUGUAUGAAAAGAGAAGAAAGAAACCAUUGACUGAUGCCCAUUUUCUUACCUGUUGUGUCCUUUCAUGGUCUAAGUGUUCCCACGUACCUCUCCAUUUUCUUUCUUAAACCUUGUCCACUUAUCUCACUGGGUUUGCUAUUAGAGCUCAUUGACAGAGGAGAGAGUCCUGUUCUUCACAGAAUUGAAGCAAAUCAUUGCAUUUCUUUUAUGAGCUUUCCUAUCCCAUCAGAUCAGACCUAUCCAAGACUUGGUAUGUUUUUCUUCAUCGGUUUAGAUUCAUGGUCCAAGAAUUUUACUCUGUAAUUGAUAAAGCAUGCAAUUCAAGUUAAGUUAGGAUUUGCAUAAAAUAAAACUGCUCCAUUUUGCACGUGUUGAUUGCUUAUAUAUGCACCAUUUUCAUAUUUUGUUUUGAUCUUAAAACAUAUGCAUGUAUGUGAGAGGAAUACUUUGGAAAUUCUGUCAGUUAGGGUUGCGUAAGAGGUGAAUCCAUAUGGACUCAGCUCCAACAGCUCUCUUGGUUGGCAAAAUUAUGGACAUUCUCGAGAACGAAGCAUACUCCAUAGCCGCUAUCCGUGAUGAAGUUGAUGAGAUUAAGCAGGAGCUGGUAAGCAUGACAUCCUUCCUAGAGGAUGUUGAGGGCCAGAAAACACAGACAGAAACACAGAAAGCUUGGGUCACAAGUGUCAGAGACUUAACCAGUGAUGUUGAAGAUAUCAUCGAUGAAUUCAUGUAUCAUACGUAUGAGCAGCAAAGUAGGGGACGAUUUGCAAGGUGGCUCCACAGGACCAUCCAUAUUCCAAAGAAUCUCUUCUAUCGGCGUAAAAUUGCCAACAAGUUACACAAAAUCACUAAAAUGAUCAAGGCCAUUCCAGAGAGAAAUAAGAGAUAUGCUCUUGAUGAUGUAGUAGGAACAAGUUGGGAUGAUAUUAGCAAAUGGGUCAAGAACCAAGCAGUGUCUUCUCUCUUUAUUAACGAAGAUGAACUCGUCGGGAUUGAUGGAAAGAAGCAAACAUUAACUGCAUGGCUGCUCCAUGAAGAGCAACACCUAACUGUUGUCUCCGUGGUCGGGAUGGGAGGAUCCGGGAAAACAACUCUAGUUGCCAAGACCUUCACCAACGAAACUAUAAACAGACAUUUUGAUUCUUAUGCUUGGAUCACUGUCUCCCAAACUUAUGUGAUUGAAGACUUGUUUCGGAGCUUGAUCAAAGAACUCCACCGAACAAGGAAAGAAGAUGUCCCUGCAGACCUGAUAUCCAUGAGCUACAGAGACUUGCUACAACUUCUGGUGAACUACCUGGAGUCUAAAAGGUACCUAGUAGUACUGGAUGACGUGUGGGAUAUCAAACUUUGGAGAGAAAUAAGGAUAGCACUUCCAGAUAGACAGCUUGGAAGUCGAAUCAUGCUUACAACUCGAAAAGAAGACAUAGCAUCCCAUUGUUUUGGAGUUGAAAGCCAUGUUCACUGUAUGCAACCGCUGGAAAAGAAUGAUGCUUGGGAGCUUUUCAGCAGGAAAUCAUUCUCUACCUUUGAUGGUAAAUGUUGUCCACCAGAGCUUGAAAAAUUAGCUUGGGAACUCAUGGAAAAGUGUAAAGGCCUACCUCUAGCUAUCAUAGCUUUAGGUGGUCUUAUGUCUUCCAAGAAAUCAGCUGCGGAGUGGAGUAAAGUCUACAAUGGCUUAAACUGGCAUCUAACAAGCCAUCAUUUGUUAGAGCCUGUGAAGAGCAUCUUGUUACUUAGUUUCAAUGAUUUGCCAUAUCGCUUGAAGCAUUGUUUUCUAUAUUGUUCCCUUUUUCCAGAAGAUUAUUUGAUUCGAAGGAAAAGGCUCAUUAGGUUAUGGAUAGCUGAAGGAUUUGUUGAACAUGCUAGAGGGGUCACACCUGAACAAGUUGCAGAGAGCUAUCUUAUGGAACUCAUUUUUCGUAACAUGCUACAAGUUGUAGAGAGGAAUGAAACCGGUAGGCCAAAAUCAUGUAAGAUGCAUGACCUUAUGCGAGAGCUUGCUCUGUCAACAUCUGAGAAAGAAAAAUUUUCUGUUGUAUAUGAUGGGAAAGAAGUACUGGAAGACAUUGGAGCCCACCGUUUGUCAAUCCAAACAACCCAAGGAGGAAUCAAAUCUUGCAUUGGUAUGUCACGCCCUCGUUCUUGUCUUGUAUUCGUUACUGGCAUAUUCUCAUUUUCUUUCUCAAAGUCAUUGCCUUCUGGAUUCAAAUUGUUGAGGGUUUUUGAUUUGGAGGAUGUCCAAAUUGAUAAGCUGCCACAUAAUUUAGUGUACUUAUUCAACUUAAGAUACUUAAGUUUGAAGGGAACUCAAAUUAAGGAGCUUCCAAAAGCCAUAGGACUGCUCCGCAACCUUCUGACAUUGAACAUCCUCAAUACUAAGAUCGAGGUACUUCCCAGAGGAAUUUCCAAGUUGCUAAACCUGCGCCUUCUAAUUAUGCACCGUCGUACUGGAGAGUAUAUGGCCUUCAAAACUGCCCAUGGGACAAGAGUGCCAUUUAAUAUUAGUAAGCUGAAGAAAUUGGAAGUUUUGUCAUGUGUUGAAUCAGAAGGAAACAUUAUAAGGCUCAUUGGGAAUAUGACUCAACUUACAAGGAUUGGCAUUACGAAUGUAAAAGAGAGAGACGCAAUGGACCUAUGUGAUUCAAUUCAAAAGUUGAAGCUACUUCAGUGCUUGGCUUUAAGGGUAAGUGGUGAGGAGGAGUUUCUUGACGUCAAUGCAUUAUCUUCACCUCCUCCACACCUUCGAAAACUUAUUUUUGGCAGCAAGCUGCAAAAGGUACCACCUUGGUUCUCUUCGCUCCAGAACCUUACAUAUCUGUAUCUUCAUUGGACGAGACUUGACGAGGAUUUACUACCUCAUAUUGAAGCAUUGCCAUGUCUGGGAAGGCUUUUACUUGUCAAUGCCUAUGUUGGUAAUGAGUUGUGUUUCAACAGAGGCUUUCCAAAGCUUACUAUUCUGGAGUUGUUUAAUUUCCCCUUAUUGAAUAAGAUAACUAUAGCAGAAGGGGUGAUGAGGAAUCUCCGGUUAUUAACACUUGCUAGAUGUAUGGAGUUAAAGGCAUUGCCACAGGGUUUUGAAUACCUUAGUAAGCUAGAAACACUUGAAUUGUUGUCUGUUUCAAUGCAACUUAUAGAGUCCAUACAAGAAGGAGGGGUGGAUCAUCCAACGGUAAAACACAUCACCGUCAUUACAAAUUAUUCUUUGAAAUGCUUGAUAAGAGCUCAUCAUAGUUCAUCCACAUGAAGGUACGUUAAUUUUUUCCUUGCUAGAAGGUAUGUAAUUUGAACUGUUCUAAUAGAAAUUGUUCCAAAUUAUUCCAAAUUAACAUUUUGGUAAAGCCAUAUAAUUUGUUCAUGGACCAAAUACUAAAUCCUUAAUAGUUAGUUUCUUUAGCAUAAUAUAAGCAUUGAAAUUUCAUCCGAUUUCCAUCCUGGUUUCAUAAUGCUCUUUUUUUCUGCAGAAUCUAGGCUGAGAGGUGAAGAUUCAAUCCUGUUUGCGCCAGGAAGAACCCUUUCUGUUGUGAAGCUGCAAACACUAAAUCUUAUUUUCUUUUGUUAAUGCUUGAAUCAAGUAAUACCAAGACUCUCUGCUCAUAGAUUGCAUUUUCAGUACUGUCUGUUUGUAUGUCUUGUAAUAUUGUUGGAGAUUGACUCACUUUAGUAGCAAUUGAUAACAGAUUUGAGCCAUGCAUUCUUUUUUGUUUCUUUUGUGUUUCAAUUGGUGAAAGAUAUGCUACUACUUCUGCUCAGGCCUGCAUAAUUUUUUCACAACACUAGCCUAGAAAUUCGUUUCUAGCUUUGAAGCUGUAAAUAUUUAGCCACCCCAUCCCCAGAAAUUUCAAUUCAUUUACUGUUAUUUUUAAUUUGGCACCUCAAAACCAACCAAGUAAAGAAUUCAUAUGUGUUAGUUUUAUUCCCAAGUUGAGUAACUGAAAUUUAUAUAUACAAGAAAAUGUUUAACUCAUAAAGAUGUUUUUACCAAGAAAUUGAAGGAAGCAAUAUGUUAGUUUGAGUAAGUCAUUUUGAGAGGAAAUUAGAUACAGAUUACACAAGUCGUAACGAGGAAGAAGUACAAAGAUGAACAUUAUUUAAGAGAGAUACAUAGGCAUUAUCCUACUGUCCCGAAAUUAUGAUUGCUAAUUCAUCCUGUCCAAAAAUUAAUCUACUCUGUGAUCUUUACAACAUACUGUACUGCAGACUAAGUCAAAAGAAAUCUACAAAAAUAUAAUUUUGUUCAUAAGCACCUCAUCAGACCAGCAUAUCUCAAUUUGAUAACUGAUUUCAAAGCGGCGUAUGGUUCCCUCUGAUUGGUGCAGCAUUGCGGAUUGCGUUUCUGGCAGUUACCUAGAGAUAGAAUUGAAACUAAAGUUCUUCAUAGCACUGUGGCUAGACUUUUCCAUCUGAUGAGGGGAGUUUUCUAUGAGCUUCCAAGGCCUUGGAGGAAGAUUUAGUGGCCGAAUUCGUGCCUUUGGAGGGAGAUGAGGAAGGAGUUGGUAGCUUCUUGGGCAGCAUCUGUUGCCAACAGUCCUUAGGCAACCUUGAUGCUUCUGAGAGAACAAUGAAAGCAACAAGAGUGAAGAGCAAGCACUUGUGCCUCCAAGAACCUGACAUGUUGAAUAAUACACUGGGAAUUGACAGGCACUGUGCUACUUUAACAUCCUAAGAUGGCAGCUUUAGAGCAUUGGUGGCAGCAGACAGGUUGAGUAAUGUAUGGAGACUGCCAACUUGAUUGUUUGAGGAAAGUAUGCCAAUGGCAGACAAUAGGGUAUUUGAUAAUUCUAAACCUCUUUAAGCAGCUCAUGUUGUUGCUCCCAUUGUGUACUAGAAGCAGAAUCUCUUUGAGUGAGAAAGUGAGGAAUUUGAGGGUUCUUAAAAAAAAAACAUUCUUAUUGGACCCCUCAUUUUGGUUGGAUAUAAAAUUAAUUCUUCUAUGUCUGGUAACAAAUCCUUAUUGUCAGAGUUGUUCAAAGUGGUAUAAUUGGUAAUGUCACUUGGACAAUUUGUGACCUAACCAGAACAAGAUCUUCACCCAACUUACUUUGCUGAAUUUAUGUGGAUGCAUACAUUGUCAUGAUGUAUGAUGCAUUACGCAUUGGUUUGGGUACAUAAAUCCGGUUUAUCUUACUGAUAAUUUCUUUGUUAAUUUUAAACAAAUUAAAUUCAUUAAUUUCUUUGUUGUCAAGCAAGCAAUGACAGUUAGACCUUCAUCAAACUAAUUAAACUCAAUGAGGUAUGCAUCAUUCAUGGAAAUAUAGGUAAUUUAUUGAAGCCAUUUAAGCCUAUGGUUGAGAACCCCAACCUACAAUUAUAGCAUUAUUGUUCAUACUAAAUUUCAAUCAUGCAAACAUGAGGGAGAGAGUUUCCUUUUCAUUUUCUCAGAUUACUCACAGCCAAACAAACAAGCCUAGCUAAUAUAAAGUUGAUGAGUAAAUUUUUUAAAGAGUUCAAAAGAAGCAUCUUGAUACUUUUGUAUGCUAUUUUGCCAACAAAGAAAUUAGUUUUACAACAAAAAGGUAAUGGCUAUCAAUGGUGUAGUGAGAUAUUAGUAUAUUUUUAUGAAAAGGGUUGUGAUUAGAGCAGCACAAUUUCCUAGUUAAUGGUGCACCUUAGUUGAAAAGUGAAGUUCAGUCAGACAAGCAAGCAACGGAAAACAUUAAUCAAACCACUCAUACUUAAGUCAAAAGGUAUAGUCCAGGCUUCCUCUAAAAUUUAAUAUUUGAAGGGCUUGUAAUUCAAGUGUUUAAAAGCAUUUAUUUGUACAUCUUAGGUUUUAGGGUCGAUUUCUCCUCUCUUAUUAUCGCUUUGUAUUAAAAAUAAAAAAAAUUAAUUGAAAUCAAUCACUAUUUAAAACAAGAACUUCUAAGGCUGCUCACACUUCCAAUUUGUCAUUAUAAAAUUUAUAUAUAUAUUUUUUUAAAAGUAUGAAUCACUUGCAAAAUGAGCGUAGAAUGACAACUGAGAGUAUGAAUUACGAUUUUUUUUUUCUUUUUAAAAUGCUAAGAAAUUUGUAGGCAGUCAGUCAUAUAGGUUGAUGCCAUUGCAGAGAAGCAGUCCCUAUAUAAAAUAAAUUUGCAGCGCAUGUGUGUGUGAGAAUUAUAAAAUCGUAAAAGUUAGAAGAAUGUCGGGUGAAAGAUAAUGUUUUAAUCUAUGCAUGCAGGCUCAUUCGAGACAAGAGGAGUUGGAAGGAGAUGGACACUGUACUCUAUCUCAAAGUGGUAGGGUCCAUUCUCACUCAAACUACUGCACAUGUCUUACUGUUCACUAAUUUAAUUUGGUAUAACUAACUAAUUUCCAAAUCAUUUUUUUCCUCCGCCCUGAUUUUUGUUGGAUAUUUGUCUGUGGGUUAUAGCUACUUAUCUGCUCUCAGAACCGGUGUGCAAAAGGAGAAAUAUUUGCAUGAAACGGGAAUGUUAUUUUUAGCUAAUAAUAUUGUGAAAUUCAUGAUAAUUUUUUUACAUGACAUAUCAUUAUUAAUUGAGACAGCAAAAUAGUGUUAUUCUCGUUGCAAUCAAGUUUUUUCUCCUACAAAAAAGAAACGCAAAUAAGAAAAUAAGUAAUGCAGAUACAAAGAAGUCCAAUAUAACACUAUAUGUUCAUAAUGCUUUGCACGACCAAAGACAAACUCAAACACACCUGGAUAUAAAUUAGGUUUUUUUGUUGCCAUAACUCCGAACCUAUACGAAGGUCGUGGAAAAUGCCAACACAAUUUCAUAACACCACCUACUAAUUAACCUCUCCCAACAUGGAGAUGCACUUUUGGUAGUAGAGUAAGAAAAGAGCAGUAACAUACCAAAAGACUACAAUAAAAUGCGUUUGAGUGGUUGACUGCCAUUUAUACUCAGAACAUUAAGAUACAAAAUUUCUAAGCCCAAUCCCUCCAUUGAAAGGGCAUAAGUUCCCUUAGCAACUAGAAAAUGAGACGAGAACUUUAUCGGGCGUCUGAAAGAAUAAUCAAUUAUGCGAACUUUACAUAUUAACGUAUUACUUCAGUGUAUAGUCCUUAUAAUUUAGUGCCUAAGCGAACAAAAGAAUACUGGAACAGACUAUACUUCCAGCAUUGACUAAGCCUUUACCCAGUCAAAGACACAGAUCGAAGCAUUUAGGCAAUUGCUGACAAAAUUGUUUCUUUCUCUGCAGGACGCCAAAAUGUCUUCUGAAUGCAUAGCAAACCCUCAUUGUCUUUCGAAUACGUAAAUCGGAUGUCCCACUGCAGAGAUUUAGCCAUGCUCUCAACCUCGUUUAAGGUUUCAGCAUUGUCCCAUAUGAUUAGCUUCCCUUCUGGCCUAAGUAUCCUAUCAACUUCGGCAAUCACUGCCACUAAGUUGCAUCUGUAGCCAGAAUACCAUAAACGCAUUGUAUCAGACGACAUGUUUGGAGUUCUUUGUUGUGAUUAAAACAGCAGUAAAUAUGUUUUAUAAAUAAUCAUAGGAAAAUGCUUCAUUACAUACCUUUUUUUCAGGACGGAGAAUAGAUGAUCUGCAUGUAGAAGAUCAUAAGUUCUGGGGUAGGUACUGAACGACUCACACCAAUCAUGAUAUAUCCCAGUUAAACCACGCUCAAAAAUUAUCGGGAGUGUGUCACGGGAGUCAACUGGGACUACAUUCAUAACCCAUACUUUCAAGUCUUUUAGUGCUGCAGCAAACCUAAAAGCAUUGCCAAAAAAAGUCAGACUACGUGAAAGAUUUCAAAAUUCUUUACUACACUGGAAAAAAGAAACAUUUGCACAAGAGAAAUAAGAAUAACAAAACGAAGCUGAAAAGGGGAUCAUUAUUUUCUGGAAAGAAUAUGACAUGCAAUUCGUACUGAUUUGCCAUCAAUAUUUUUCACCUUCAACCCCUAAGACGUUCAAAAUAUAAAGUAUUACCAAUACUAAACUCAACCUUUUGUAAUUGGCAGUAGUCAUUAGGUAUAUAUGGAAACAAAAAUUUCAAUCAAAGCAACAGAAAAGAAGAGGGGGUGUGGAAUAGCAGAAAGAGGGUGACCUGGGUGAUUUAAGGUAGUGAUGGGAAAAAGAAAUUAAAAGAUUAAAAAUUGCUUACCCUCCGUAUACAGCUCUCAUGUCCAUGACAUUCCUAACAGAAGACCAGUUGAUUCCCAUCCCAUUCAAAUAUGUCUCGGAAACAACUUUUUUCCAAUGCUUGUAGUCAGAAAUGAAAUCCUCUGGGGCAGAUUUUCCAUCAACAUCAAGCUGAGACUUUAACCAGUAUGGUGGUUUUUCCAACCUUAAUGGCCAUUUUGGAGGCCACUGAGACCCACGGUUUAAGACAUCAUCCGGCACUUUGUGCAUGCAUGCCUCUAGUGAAACAUUCCUGAUGAUGCAGAAAUAAAAUGGAACACUUAACAGUGUUGGAAAUUUAACUCAUGGAGAAUACUAUAAAGGAACUUUUAACUACAUAUAGGUAUUCAAAGAUGUGAAGUAUUUUCUGAGCCACAUUUGACAAUGUUUAGCAGGCCAACUUAGAAUAAAGGCGGACUUGAAAACUAUAGUGGCAUCAAUUUCUAUUUAUUUCUGUUCAUAUGAAAACUUAUGACCUAGAUUUUAUUUAACAACUCAGAAAUUAUGAAAAGGGAAGAUGCUAUCAAUCAAAGCUCUUUCAGUUCAACAUGUUAGUCACUCUCACAAGGGCAAGUACAACUUAAAGAUUUGGAAUGAUAUUUAUGCAUCUCAAGUUCACGACAUUGGAGAAUUUUCUGCACUACAAAAUCCUUUUGUUUUUCAGACUGCAAAAUCCUUCACAUUGCUAAUGAAUUUUCAAGGGAUACACAAAACCCAAAACGUAAAACUUCAUAAAAAUUCAGGUUUGAAAACAAAAACUUAUUGCCGGAAAGACAUUCCAAAUAUGGUCCUAGUAAGCGACAUAUGAGUCACAAUUGCUUAGCUUAGAGCAAAUUGGUUAUAUACGUAUAACAAGACUAACAUAUAACCUGAUGCCUAAAAGAAAUUUAAAAUCUUCAAUGCACAUUAGCCAUAAAGGAAACUGAUUCAUGUGAAUAACCUGAUAUGCCACACAUUACUUAAAAAAGUUAGUACAUUAUUAAAUUAUAUUUAUAGCACCAUUUAAGAAAUAAAUAUUGAUACCUAUAAGUAGUCGUCAUCAUAGCGAAUUUAUAUUAGUUACCAAACAUUACUAUACAGACAACAGAAGAAAAAGAAAAAUAUCAGCAUUCUUCUAAAAUCUGACAUGGCAAAUGUUAUUGAGAUCCAAAAUCAUUUUAUUUUACCAAUGCCUCAUAUCGAGUAGCAAACGUACACAUUAAGUAAUCUAGUAUUUAUUUUUGGCACUAUACGAAUUAUCAUUGUAUUAAAAAUGUCCAUACAAAAACUUUUUCUGAAUAUUUUUUAUCUUUCUUUGAUGUCACUUCCAAUUUCCAUACUAGCGGCCACCAAUAACAAACACAGAGAAACGCCAAUACUACAAUAUUUGGACAAAAAGGUAAAGUACCAGCUAGUAUUUGGAUCAUCAGAUUCACUGCAUAGAGGAGGGUCAUUGCGUGCUCUUUCAUUGUAGCACUCAUUGGUAGAAGGUUUUCUAUAUAUGGCAGCAGCCACUCCAUUAAGUCUGUCCUUUUUAAUCACCAACAGAUCCCAGCACAUUGACUUUGUUAAUUUAGACAUCGCUGCCAAUAAUUACCAUGAGAGUGAGAAUAUGUUAGAUAUGAUCAACCAAAACAUACAACUCGCUUCAGAGGGAAGGGAAAAAGGAAAAAAGAAAAAGGAAGUAUUCUACCUUUCCAAAUGCCAACAUCUUCAGGAAGCUUUUGGUAAACAGGAGUAGCAGACCAGACAAAGUAACCACCAGGUCGCAAGACACGAUUAAGCUCCAGGAGAAGUUUACCACCUGCAAUGUAACUCGAAUUAUAUCUCCAGAACAAUGCGGACUAAGAAAAUAAAUAAAUAAAUUGCAAACAUUACCUUCAAUAUGCCAAGGGACUCUACAGCGUGCACAGUGGACAAGAUCAUACACAGAACUUGGAAAGGGUAGUCUUUUGGUACCCAUAACAGCUGAUAUGGCAGGGAUUCCCCGUUCUAGUGCAAAUUGUACUUGGGCUUCGUGCUCAUCCUUGGGGGCAAAUGACAUAGCAAGAACAUCUCUAUCAAAUAGAAAACCUCCGAAGCUGGCUACACCACACCCAACAUCUAAUAUCACACGGCUUCUUUUACCCCAUGCAAUAUCAGGAAGAGACUGCAUAGCAAAAAUGAAAUAUACAUUUUUAGCAUCGGAAAAAAAAAAAAAAAAAAAAUUCACCAAAAAAUAAUGCUUUUUUUAAUAAUUAGACUGAAACUCCGGACCAGUAAGAUAACAAUGCUAAAUACUAGAGUUUUCUUACAAAAGGAACCACAAAAGAAAAUAAACAUAUAAGAUCAAGUGAGGCACAAUUGAAUAUUUUUAGACAAAUAUAAUCAAGGUCAUACAAAUAUAUUGCUUCCUAAAGAACAGGACUUCACAUGAAGCAUGGCAAAAUGAAUACAAUGAAAUGGACAAGUUGCACGAAUGAAGAGAUGAAAUCAGAUGGAACUGCAUCCCAUAAUUCAAACCCACUAUUUGGUAAUUGUAUAAGAAAAUAUAAUUUCAAAAUUGUAUAAAGGACUAGAGCACACCCACACAAAAUCACAUAGACACAAUCCCAGUCCUGCAUACAGGAAAAAAAAAAAAAAGGGAUAAAAUAGUUCACAUUCAGCAAAAAGCCAUUAACCAAACCCUCAAAACUGUCCCUAUGCCUACAAUACAAACAUUAAUAGGAACAAGUUUGAAUGAACACAGGUGCAUCCUGAAUCACUGAUCAAUUGGUAUGACACAUUAUGUGUCAUGCACAAUGUAAUAUCCUUAUCGCCCUACCGCAAUAUAACUAUUACUUGGUGCUGUAAGUGGAAUCAGAAAUGAUAUUCCCUUCCCAUAAAAUUUCUGAAAAUAUAUUUCGGCAAACCAAUGUAUGACAGGAUCUGGAAAAUAAGAUGAUAUAACAAUAGGACUUACUUUUUGGAUAAAAUCAAUGUAAUGAAGAGCACCAUUCUUAAACUGAGUUCCACCACCAGGAAAUGUGAGAUAUUCACCGGUAACUUUAACCCAAUUUUGGUGCCCUUUAACUACUGCGAGCUUGGUGUGAGGAACAUUGUGGUACCAUAUCUGCAUCAUGCACCAAGAACAUAUUUCAAUUGCAAGGAUUAAAAAGAGGUAAUUGUUAUUAUUUUCCUAGACAGCUGAUAUACCUUUUCCCUGCUUGUAGGCCACUGAAUGGACCGUUUAUAUCCUUCUGGAAGAGGAACAAGACAGGUCGGGGCUUCAUCAGGGCAGUGCCUCUCUCGAUGUUCAUAGUGCAUUGUACUUGGAAGCUUCCUGAUAGAACCCCAAUUGUCAAGACAAGGGAUGUAGUCUGGCCCAGCAGUGACAUCACAGAGUUUCCACUUCCACUCAUGCCCACUCUUAUGUUCAGAUAAGGAAGAUUGUUGUGUUUCUUUCUCAUUCUGCGACUCCACAACUUCAGUUGACCCUUGCUCAUUUUCAGCUGUAGUUUCCUGGCUUUCUAUGUUAUUACUAUCACUUUCUUCUGAAUGAAUGUCUUGAUAUUUCUCAACAUUUUCCUUCUCAGUCUGAAUAGUCACUUCAUCUUCCUGCUUUAUUCCAUCAGAAGUCUCGUCUCCCUCCAAUUUUUUCUCCCCUUCUUGGAAGUCAGAUGUAUUUCCAGCUUCUGAAUUGGACUCCCCAUCUCCUGAACUAGCUUCAUGAUCAUUUGUUUUCCCAUCCCCAUCAUUUUCAGCCUCUGUCUUUGUUUGCUCUUCAGUCUCAAGUUUCUCAUCAGAUUUCUCCUCUACAAGCUUCUCUUGCUGAUUUCCCUCAACACCAUUCUCACUUUCUGGCUCAGUCUUCACUUCAGAUUCCUCCUUUGAAACCAAUUCUUCCUGUUUUUCUUCAGUUGUAUUUACAGAAACAUCCUCUGCAACAUUCUGAGCAUUCUUAAUAUCCAAAUGGCUUUCACUCUGUAAAUCAUUGCCAUUGUCAUCCCUUUUUAUUACAGUUUCUGGUAAUUCACCUGAACUGUCUUCGAAUUGCUUGGAAUCUUUAUCAGUUGUCGUUUGCCAUUUUACCUCAUUUACGGUCUCCUCAGAUGAUGAGUCUUGAUUCUGAAUUGGAACAACCGUUGACAUUAACAUCCAGACCCCAACUAAGCAAAAUGCAACAAAUACAACUAGACUGGUCGUCGAACAACAAUUCAGUGACCUCCUUCCAUCAACUCGAGAAUACUUCCCCACAGCCAUCUUUAUGAGGUGAAAAUUGAUAUCCCAAAUAAUAAACACACCUGACAAGGGCAAUAACAAAACAAACUCAGCUAUCCAUGAUGUUUGUAUCUUCAAGCUUGUUUUCUGGAAAUUGUUAAGGAAAAAGUGUUUGAACCCUCAUGUGGCAACAUAAUUUUACACUUAUUUUUAUCUUAAUGAUUUUAAUCACAAACGCAAAAAGAGUAAUAUAAAAAAACUGUUUUUGAAUGAAUAAAGGAACCGACAGGCCUUGCACUGCUAAAAGAAUAUAUAUGAGAAAGGGCAUCCUUGCUAAUUUUGAUAUACAAGAGUAAGAGUGGUAGUGUGUAUCAUGUCAAAUUACGGCUCUGAUAGUUUUUCUGUGGCCAUAACGAAGGUGAUACCUUUUCCUCAAGUAGAUUGACAAGUAAUAGCAAAUUGGAUCAUAGAAUAGGGUAAAGAGAGCUCAACUUUGUUCCAAAGAAAGCAGAUAGAUCAAUUAACAAAGAACAAAUAAAUUUCAGAGUAAAAGAUCAACUUUUUUCUGUUGAAUUCCAUAACGCAACAAGAAUAUCCUCAAAAACAUAUUUUUACAAAAAGUGAUUAUAACCCAUUUCAUAACGCAAUAAACCCAACAAACAGAAAACGAUAGUGGGGGCUCAAUAAUAAGAACAAUGCACUGUUUGGUUGGUGCGAAAGUGCAGGAAAAUAAAAGAGAACUGAAACAACUACAUGCGGAUGCUGGGAAUAUUAGAAACUUGGAGGUCUCUUGGCAUUGAUUCAUUAAACAAAAGAGUACUCCGGUCGUGCAAGAAAACAAAGAUCUGAUCAAAUAAUGACAAGGGGUAGAGUAUCUGAGACAGAGAGUGAGAUUUUUCUUACUUGGCUCAGUGGCUGAGAGAAGUGUCGGGUCCUCCUCUUGCUUACUCCAUAGUACUAAUUGCCUCCUCCUUGAAGAGAGCUUGGUUGGGUCGGUCAGUGGGUCUUUAUAAUGCUCCCAUUACUCUUUCAUUUCGAGAUAUCAAUGUAUUUAGCAUAAAUUUGAAUAUUGCAUUGCAUUUAUUAAAGAAUGAAAAAUAUCUCUCUGUGAGAGAGAGAGAGAGAGAGAGAUCUGCUUCUAUUUCUAUAACCUUUUUAUGGAAUCUGCAGUCUCCACUCCAGCUAAGGUUAAGUUGUAAACCAAUGAGCCAAUAAAGUCCAAGCAAGCAGAUUCAAAGAUAGAAGGGCGGUGAUCUACCAUAAUUUUUUCUAUUUUUUAUAGAAAAAUAAAAAAAAGAUAAAUUUCUUUUUCCCAACCAAAUGAAAGUAAAAGAAAAUUUUAAUAGAAGGAAUUCGCACUCAUGACUGUAUAUGAAAGUUAAAUAUGAUUCUAAAAUUGUGAAAGUAAUAAUUUUCUUGUUUCGACCCUUAGAAAUAGAACAAAAGUUAAUGUGCAAAAUGUGAUCCAUCAUUGAGUCUAUUUUCUGCAGGAUCUAUUUGUUUUAGAGAUGUAAUUAGAGACUUUAAAAAAGCUCAAUAAAUUGACAAAAUAAAAUCUGAUUCCAUUGCAAUCCAUGUGCAAAGUCACUUUUGAGAUGAAAUUGACCAAACUAAUGAGAACGUGGGCCUUGGGGCCACCUUAUCAAAAAGGUACCCCACUGUGAUUGCGUCAUGAUGCAAUCUCAACCGUGCAUGCACAAUAAGCCGACACAGCCUUGUGCUUAACAACGGCUGAGAUUGAGCCAUCGCAAGACGUAUUUACAUUCGGUUCCGAAGGAACUAGAGUAUCAGCAAUGAUUACUAAACAGUUCAGUUCAAUAGUUCAAUUUAUUGAACUGAGGCUUAAUGAAUUUAAUUUCAGAGUUCAUUUGAAGUGAGUUUGGACUAAAUUUACUUACAUAUUGUUAAAUUCAAAGAGACGGGCAGAGACUCACUACUAAUAGUAGUGGAUAUUAUCUUUAAUUUAAUCACUUACAAAGUCCAGUAAGUAUGGAGUUUUAUUUCAAAAUACCUCGAUGUUAUUAGUAGUAGAACCAUUUAUUAUAUUUUGCAUUUUAUUUAAUUAAAUUUCCAACGUGAGACUCAUAUUCUUCAACACAUAUAUCAUGUCCUUUCUUCUCCGAAUUGUUCAACAAAAAACAGGAUGUUAUGAGCUGCAUGCAAUAUCUUCUAACAUUAUAGUUAUUCUUUCUACUAUCUGUAAAUCCUCCCUCCGCCAUGCUUUCGGUUUGUGGUCCUUCUUGGGGCUUUUCUGUUUGGCCUUUUCAUGCUUCCUAGCAGCCGUUUUCUUCUUCCUAGCAGCUUUUCUCACCUUGGCUUCUUUCUGCGAAACCCAAUAAUAUUACGAGAAACUAAAUUUAAAGGCUAAUAAAAAUACUUAUAGACAUGCAAAUAAUUGAGUAUCUUGAUUCGUGAUCAUUAAAUAAUUAAAAAAUUUCAUGUUAACACAUCUCUUUCACCUUUGCCAAGCUCACUACAUGUCAACUCCCACAUCAGCAAAUUCUCAUCCAGAGUUGUUUUGGUUUCCUACUCAUGCAGAGUGGUUUCAUCUUCUUGUUUUGGUUGCUUCAUGUUAGAUGCACCUAUCCUCUUCUAUGGGUUCAUAAUACUCACAUUAAUUAAGACUCAUUAUCAUUAGAAAACUAUAUUUAUAAGGGUCUUGACACAAACAAAAUGCAACAAAAUUCAAAGUAAAAAUUGAUGUUAUUGAUGAAAACACAAAAAAUGUAAAGAAAACUUACGAGCUGAAGCCGAACUUAGGCUAAUCAUGAAUGCUCAAUUUUCUUAGUUAAUAUAAAUUUCAAGUUUUUCCCUUUUUAUUGAAUUUGUUUUACUGUACUUAAUAUUUAAUUUGAUUUUAAAGGCCUAAUCACUAUCUAAGUUGAAUUAGAUUAAUGCAAUGCAAGUUAGAGUAGAUGCCAUACUUAACUUGAGUUUUGAAUUCACUUCUGCAGUCUUCAACCAACCAUUCACCCUAAGUCUGCAACCACAUUAAAUAACAACCAUUCACCUUAUGAUUAUGCUCGCAGAAGUAUUCUGAUAACAGUUUAUUAUAGGGAGAGAGAGAGAGAGAGAGAGAGAGGGGCUUCUGCUGGGUAUUAUGUGGAUGAACAUACGUCAAAUAAUCACAUUAGGCACCUAUCCAAAGCCACGCAACCACAUUAUCCACACACCACACUGGUUAAAUCAAAAGUUCAAGCCGCUGGUGACGUGUCACAAAGUUGGACAGUUCUUUUUUUAAAAAUAAACCAGUUCAAGAAAAUAAAGAAAAAAGGAGGAAAGAAAAAUAUGCGGUGGAAGGGGCUUUUCAUAGAUUUUGGACUUUUGGUAGGUGAAAAUCAGAAUAUCACAAAUUCACAGUACACAUGAGACCACCAGCUAUGAACAACAAUCCUCCACAUAUUCUCCUCUCUUUCUUUUCCCCCUCUCUAAUUUCUCUCUCUCUCUCUCUCUCUCUCUCUCUCUCUCUCUCUCACAACCACACAGAGAGAACAAAACAAUGGUUGCAGGUGAAAGAUGAAGAGGAGCAAAACAGGGUUAUGCAUCUUCCAUGGCCUGUCAUUGUGCUUAUUAUGUAUUUCCACCAUCACCACUGAGGAAGAACUUGUACAAGACCACUACCCUUCUCUCAUCAAAAAGACCCAAGUCUCUUUUGCUUUCUGCCAUCAGCAACAAUAGAGACUCUUACAAUACUUUGGUUUCUGAGGUAGCAUUGCCCUCUCUUUUUGUUUCUCUACCUCUUCAUUAUGCAAUUUGUAAUAUUUAUUUAGGCAUAGCCUCCUUUGAGUUAUAUAAAGGGAUUAUCUGUUAAGGGAUUGUUUAAAAUUUUGAAAUUUUAGAUAAUUUAAUCAAGUGAGUUAUGUCCCAGCCAAGGAGUUGCUUUUAGCCACCAGCAUUUUGUUAUAUUUUCAUUCUCCUGAGAAGUUCAUAGACUUUUGAGUUCCAGCAGCCCCCAUAUGGCAUCUUUCCAUUGAGUUGGGUUGUAAUUUGUAGAAAAUGCCUCUCUAUUGUAGUAUGAUUUUGAGUAUACUGCUCUGCUAGGGUCAUUGAUUUUUCAGAAUAACUAUUUUGUCCUAGCACAAUGGGAAACUUCACAUGACAUUUUAGGAUUUAUUAUAAGAUCUCAACCGUGUGAUUGUUGAAUACUUAUGUUACGCAUGACAUCUUAGCUGUUCUGCAUCCUCUCACUUUUGACAUUGGAGUUCAUGAAAUGCCAAAUGAACAUUUUAUAUUCUUGUUUGCAGGCUGUUAGUCUUUUGGGUCCAGCAACAUUCGACGCUUCAAAGCUCAAAGUUGAAUUUAUAGGAGAAGAGUUCAAUAAUUAUGUAGGAAUCAUCCCAAGAACUUACAUCCUAUCACAUUGUGACUUCACAGCUAACCUGACCUUAACGAUCUCCAAUGUCAUCAACCUCGAUCAGGUCUGUUUUCCAUUUUAUUUCUUCUGAUGCUUCUAAAGUUUUUAUUUUUUAUUUUUAUGAUACCUAUCUAUGCUAGGAUUGAUGAAGUUUCAAUGUGAUUGGUUGCAUCUGAUAGUCCAUUUGGUGUUUACGAUUGUGAUUUUGAUCCUUAUUGCAGUUGAAAGGAUGGUACAGCAAGGAUGACGUGGUUGCAGAAUGGAAAAGGGUGAAUGGUGAAAUGUGCCUACAUAUUCAUUGCUAUGUGAGCGGUCCCAAUCUCAUGCUGGACCUGGCCGCAGAGUUCAGAUAUCACAUAUUCUCCAAAGAAAUGCCUUUGGUAAGCGUUUCUUCUAAGACUGUACUCUGAUAUCCUAUCCUAUUUGCAAAAGGGAAUAAUUAGGAAACUGAGGUGCUUGAGAAGGUAACUCUGAAAGGCCUAUAUGAUAUGAAAACUUCCAUCGCCAUGCAUAGUCAUAUACGUUGCACAGCCAACACAUUAGAAAACACAAGCCAAACAAUGUUAGAUACACAGAUACCAUUUAGUAAUGUCGCAAUUCUCAUACCAAAUAUCAUGAAAGGGGUGAUUAUAUUACACUAAAGAUGGCCACAAGUCUGAGAUGUUGCUUGACUUUAUUAAGUACUUUGGCAUGCCUGAGAUGGUUGAAUGAAUAUUGCUGUGUUACUUAAAUAUUUCCUUACUUUUGGUUUCUAUACAAGCAGGUACUCAAAGCUGUGUUACAUGGAGACUCUCUACUUUUCAGAGAGCAUCCUGAGCUAGUGGAUGCCAUGGUUCGGGUUUAUUUUCAUUCCAAUUUGAAGAAGUACAAUAGAAUUGAAUGCUGGGGGCCUCUCAAGGAUGCUGUAGAGGUAAAACUCAACAUGUGCAUGCGUAACCACACUUAGAAUGUUGCUCCUUUCAAGAUUGCUUGCUAAUUGUCAUGUGAGUCACCAUGUGUUACUAUGUGAAGACUUGUUAUCAACUUCAGUCAUUACAUGUCGUUGUCCCGAAAAAUAUAGGGGAAUUACAUAUUUUAAGUUCAUAUGAUGCCGUAAUUUUCAUUUGAACAAGAGUUUUAUUUCAGGGAAGACAAGGGGAUCAUACCAAAGGAAUAACUGCACAUAUGGAUUCUUCCCAUCCUCAGGUCAAGCAGCGAACGCCAAAAUCCAUAUUUCAAGUUCUAUUUGCAUUCCUUCUUUGAUUCUUUGAAGUCCAUUGCGUAUUAUGAUCUCUAAAUUUUUUAAUACCUUCGAGGCUCGUCAACUUCAACAGCCAACGCCAGAGGCUAUGAACGAAUCAGCUUUCAUGUGUAAAGUUCAAAUAAUUCUUUGGGAAGACGCAAAAAGGGAAAAAAAAAUCAGGUUGAUCUAAAACAAGGACGGUUUGGGGCGCAUAAAAUUGAUUCACAAUUUUUCUGUGACUAAGACCAAUUUGUUCAUGCGUUAAUCAAUGGCUAAUGUCUUUGUUACUUGACAUGUCUUUUGCUUCUAUUGUUUACAUGCAUUCCACUUCAUUUUUUCUAUUACUAAUGCAUAGAUCAAUUCAUAUAAAAUCUCAAUGCAAACCAGUGGCCCGUAGCCACUCUUAGAGUGCCCUUGGCCCCCAGGUUUUUGACAUCUCUCAUCUACUAUAUUAUAAAUACAUGUUCUAAUAUAGACGUAAUGGCUCCUCUAAAACAAUAUAGACAUGGCUAAAUUAGAAAUAUUUAACACUAACAUGUAAAUCUUAAAUCAAUAUGUAUUUAAUAUGCUCAUAUUUUCGGCAACCUAACUUUACAAUUUUAACUCCACUCCUGAUGUAAAUGUACCAACAGUUUAUUAGAAUGAGGGGUCAAGCAUAGCGUUUGAGUUUGUUCAUGUCUCCCGACUCCAUGUGACUCGUGAGUCCACUUUGACUGUAGACAGUCCAAUUUCACUUAAACCUCUCUUCUAGAUCUCUGAAAACUCAAGAUCCAACAAAAUUCUGGAAUUCAGUGGGCCUAGGCCCAGCAAAAUUAUUGAUUUUUUUGUUUUUUUGGACACAAGCUAUAUUACGGAAGGAGAUUUCAAACACAAAACUUUGGGUGCAGCACUGUUCAAUCCCCUUGCAACUUCUUUUUAUUGUUAAAGCGAAAACACCCCCAUAAUUCACUACUCGCUAAACAACAAAAUCACUAUUUUGAGCAAAACAUGGAAGCUGUGUUGUAGGUAAAGUGCAUGAAAUGAAAGUGGGACGAAGGUUCCUACUCUUCCCAAAAAGACGUAAUAUUGGAUAUCUCUAGCUAGCUCAAGCUACUUCUCAUGCAACUCUCUCUUCCUCUCUCACUCUCUAAAUACUAGAUACACACACAUGCAGAGGCUCGUCUCAUUGGCACAUUUAUGCAGUACAGAGUAACGAGGAGAUGGAGAGGAAGACGACCAUGAAGACUAUGCAUCAUAUCGGCGCAGAGUUGGAAGCACUGUCGAGAGUCGUCGGAUUAGGAAGGAGCUCUAGGAGACACUGCCUAGUCCCUCCUAGAGGAAGGAUCAAGCGUAAGAUUCUUGCCCUUCUAUUCAAAAGACUGAAGCUUGCAACCCAACAUUCAUGUAUGUAAUUCCUCAUACUGAACUUGGAGGAUAUAUAUAUAUAUAUAUAUGUUUGUGGAGAAUUUUCUAGUAAGGAUGGCCUUAUUUAAAAUAAAUAAAUAAAACGGGGAUCCUUUCUAGAUAGAAUACUACACAAAGCAUUCAACAAUGAGAACCAUUUGUAUCCUUCUUAAGAUGGUUUUCAGUAUGUUAUAUAUGAUGCCAUGUCAUUCAAAAUGACCAGUUGUAUUUCUAUUGCUUUAAUUACCUUUUAAGAAUUUUAAGUUCAUUAAUAUUUGUUUUUAAAAUUUCACCUUUCAUCAUCCAUCAUAUGCCGCGUUGCCCCACCAGCAUCACUUUGGACUCUCACUCGUCACAAAGGGAUUAAAGCCUCAUCUUGGAAAGGAAAAAAAAAAAAAAAAAAAAACUUUCUUGUAACAAUGAUAACACUAUUUUGCUAUCCUCAUUACAUGAGAUUUUCUCUCCUCAUCUAGGAAUGGGC
RNAcentral lists this long non-coding RNA (50459 nucleotides) under Prunus persica (peach). RNAcentral's name for it is "long non-coding RNA (PPER_LNC007571)". The record is from RNAcentral. Lineage: Eukaryota; Viridiplantae; Streptophyta; Magnoliopsida; Rosales; Rosaceae.